Molecule: long non-coding RNA, 46334 nt
Filed under: Coffea arabica (coffee)
Lineage: Eukaryota; Viridiplantae; Streptophyta; Magnoliopsida; Gentianales; Rubiaceae
Description: long non-coding RNA (CARA_LNC007574)
Source: RNAcentral
AGAUUAUAUGUUGAACUGCUGCAGCAAAAACCUUUCUGAUUGACAUUUGAAUUUACUGAUUCCGUAUAAAUAUGUAACAGCUUAUCAGCAAUUUAUUCCCUCUCUUUGCUGUGUGGAACAUUUAUUUUAACAAACUGUAAUGGAUGCGUUUAGAUUGAACAAUCAACCAUCUCAUGCGAAUGUCUAGUUGCUGUUUGGUUGGCAUGCCUUGUAUCUUCAUUGAUCAGGCCUACAUUUCUUAACAUGUUCAAAAUCUUUAUUCAUUCAUGUUUAAUAAAAUCUCAAAUGAUACAAAUUUCUUUCGUAUUCCGUGAUCAACGUGACAUGAAUUAGCUAAACCUCCAUACAGGUCUGGGAUGUUUGAGCAUAAAAUUAAUUACUAAUUGCAAACCCCACCAGGUUCGUUGCAGUGUGGUUGAGGAGGUAUGAAUUUUGAAGGGUAUCAAGAGACGGACCAAUAGUUUUUUUUUUUUUGAACUCAGAGACGGACCAAUAGUUAAAAGCUAUAAAAUACAUGAAAGUAAUCACUCACUAGAAAGCAUCCUAGAAGCGUAACAGUAACUACACACUAACUGUUCCUAUCCCUAAACAACAUGUCUAUGCAAAGAUAAUAAUGAUUUGGAUAACAUUUUUGUCUUAAUCAUCUGAUUACCUGUCACAUGCAGGGCUAAGCUAAUGAUAUGCCAUUGGAACUUGAAAGGAUUCAGCAUAAUUAAAGAUAAAUAUGACAUUAAUGUCAAUCUAAUGCAGAGUCUACAAAUUCAAACUGGUGCCGGGGCAUACGAUGAAGAAUAGGAUGAUGACAAUUUUGUGGAUGGAACAUGGAUUGAAAAUUUCGGUUUCAAGACAAACUGAGAAUUCAAGGGACAAAUAAAAUCAAAUGUAAAUUUUGUUCAUUUUUUUUCUCUUUAUAGCUAUACAAAUUCAACAGAGAGCAGGUCCAAAUUGCGAGUACAAAAUUGUCAUACCAUCGUGACUUGAAUAGAAACUAUUAGUGAUCGAAUACGAUUAACAAACCACUGAGCCUAGCUCCAUGGCCAUCAAGGAGUGACUCAAGUCCUUCCUUGGGCUGUAGAUGGCGGGUUCAAACCCCACCUGUAGUAAAAAAAAUCCAUGGCUCCAUCUUUGGUCUAGUCAGAUUUGCACACCUACUAGUUCCUAACACACAAGCCUCCUUAGGCUCACUCUUCCUAUAGAUUAAGAUAGAAUAACAAAAUAGUACUCCCUCUCUCCUAUUUUGAUAGUUUUAGUUUUUUUUUAAAUAGUUUAAAAAUUUAAUUAACUUUAUCUAAAGAGUGCAUCUAGUUUAUUAUUUCCUAAGAUACCCCUUACAUUAACAUUAAUAGUAUAACUAAACAUUAUACCUUUACAUUAAUGGUAAUGGUAACAACAAUAUUGAUGAAAAAUUGCACCAUUCAAGGCAUGAAUCGAAACAAUUAAUGAAUAAAGUAGGUUAUAUUCACUGAUAAUAAAGUACAUUAAAUAAGGACAUUUUAGAGAGGUUAAAAGUUAACUAUAUUUUUUUAACUGGAAAGUAGAAUAUAAUUUGGGACGGAUAAAAAAAGGAAAACAAGAAUAUCAAAAUGGAAAGGAGAGAAUAGUAUUUUGACAAAUUCUCAUCAAGGGUGUUGCGUGUCAUUAUCAGCAACAAUUAGAACUCAAUUUUAACUCACUAAUUGUAUAUUAUGUAGGCAAAAGUAUAAGGUUCUUUGAACUCGACUUAUUUUUAACUGGAAAGUAGAAUAUAAUUUGAGACGGAUAAAAAAAGGAAAACAAGAAUAUCAAAAUGGAAAGGAGAGAAUAGUAUUUUGACAAAUUCUCAUCAAGGGUGUUGCGUGUCAUUAUCAGCAACAAUUAAAACUCAAUUUUAACUCACGAAUUGUAUAUUAUGUAGGCAAAAGUAUAAGGUUCUUUGAACUCGACUUAUUUUUAACAAGUAAUGGAGGCACAAACAAUUAGUAAGACCUUAGUUAUACAAGGCCACUUUUACAAAAAGCCGAAGUUAACAUGCUUACUAGCAGUGCAUGUUUCACCUCCUUCUUUUGGAUUGGACUAUUUAACACUGGAAGUAAGGACAGCUCUGUUUGAAAAGGGAAAACUAAAAUAAGUAGGAAAAAAGAAUAUAUAAUUAAGGUAUUUCUCAACACAUUUAAUAUUCAUAUAACCUACUAUAUAUGUACACAUAUUAACAAUUAUUAUCUUCUCUUGCAUUUUUAUACUUUUCCUAGUUAAUGUUAUCUGCCCUCCCUUUGUAUUUAUUUACUUUUCUUAAUUAAUCUUAUAUUUUAAAAAAAUUACACCUAUUAUGUAUCUUAACAGUUGCCCAAUAGACAAACCCUAUAAUGAACUUCAUUUACCUUAAAAAGGAAAGCAGAUUUGUGAUUAAAUAACAGGAGGAUUUAAAUAACGAGAGGAAAAAAUUGGCCCAUCUAUUAGAAGUUUCAUCUUGGACCUAGUAUCCAUUUGGACAAACAAAACCCCACUUUAUAUUCCCCCUUGGACGUUCAAAUGGAGCUCUCUUACUGGACCAGUCCAAAAUAAAGUUUCUCGACAAUUAUCUUAUAGUGGCAAAAAUAUUAAGUUACACACUCAGAAUCCUAUAUCUUUCCACCAGCUCUUGGGCUGGUGGCCACCACCAAGCCCUUAAGGUUUUGGUGGGGUGGGAGGCAAGGGUUCAAACCUUGCUUCCCACCAAAAUGCCACCCUUGUGGCUUGCUUCAAAUCCAGACGGGUGCGUAGUGCACCCGUCUGGUCCGGUGGUGGUUCUGUCCCCAUCGGUCCCCAUAGGUUCAGUUGAGUCUCCCCGUAGAUAGAGUAGGAGUAGGAGUAGGGUUGACAAUUGACAAAAAAAAAGAAAAAAAGAAAAGGUCUUGAGUCAAUUCAAUCCGUAGAGAGAGGAAGAUGGCAGAACUCCCAAUUGAGAUAGUGACCGACGUACUAUCAAGGCUUCCUUUGAAAGCCCUCUUCAAAUGCAAGUGUGUCUGCAAGACAUGGUGCAACUUACUAUCGGAUUCUUAGUUCGUGAAAUUGUGGGAAACUAAGUGGAGAAAACUCCGUUUCUUUUACGUACAAGAUCUAGCAUGUUCCCGUGAUGGAAGUCGCUGUACCCUCCAAUUUACAUCCGCAGAUGAAGAAGGCCGUAGCAUUGUGCAAGAAUUCACCAAGGAAGGAAAAUAUUGCAGGGGUGGUGGAUUGUACAUCAUGUUAGCCCCUUGCAACGGCCUUGUAUGUAUUUUCCAAACACCCUUAUAUCGGGAAACUAGGCGUAUUUAUCUAUGCAACCCUAUAACUCACCAAUUUGUAACGCUCCCAGAGGCCUCCCCACAAUCAUGGGCCCGUGCAAUUGGUUUUGGACAUGUGCCCUCUACGGGAGAGUACAAAGUUGCGAGAAUGUUUACUGCCGAAUUUGUGACUGGGGACGAUAUGGACAGUGAUUUCAGUUGUGAAAUUUUUAGCAUUAGACGGGAAGCCAAUUGUUAUUCAUCAUCAGGUUCUUGGAGAGUCAUAAAUCAAUCCAAAUGCCCAUAUCCAAUUCGUAAUAGCGCUGUUUUUGUUAAUGGACGUCUUCACUGGGUAGUCAAUACUGAAUGUCCUUUUCCACCAGAUCAUGAUAAUGCCAUAAUUUUCUUCGAUUUGGCUAGUGAAACUUUUGGGUAUGUCCCCCAUCCUCCGGAUUACGAGCAUGAACAAGAAAGUUCCAUUUAUGUGUUGGAUUUGGCAGGUAACCUUAGCCUACUUAAUUUUGAAAAGCAUGAAAAUCUGAUCCGACUAUGGAUGCUUGAUGAUUAUGACAAAGGCAUCUGGACCGAAACGCAUAACAUCAUGUUAGACCCUCUGACUAGGGAUGACGGUAUCAGCUUUAAAUUUAUGGUGGGCAGGGAAUUAUUGAUGGCACCUUGGCAUUGUAAAUACAGACUCUACUACAACAUUGACACGCGAACUUUUAGAAGAGUUGAAAAGCCUGAGCCUGCAGGAUCUCAUGGGUGGACUUUUAGAUACUACUGGGAAAGCUAUGAAGAUCUGAUGGAAAAUCACAAAGUACUAGCAUUAUGUUAGGAAUCUUGGUAUUCUUUUCGCUUUUUUUUCCCUAGUUUAUCUACUUUGGUUGUUCUUUUUUUUUUUUCCUCCAUUAUGAGGAUAGCAAUACACUUUUGCCAUGCUUAAUAUAUAUAUUAAUGCUUGUGUUCAUAAAUGUUUUUGCCAAUUUACUUAAAGAUCAUAGAGACAUGAUCAGUUGAGUUUUCUAAUUAGCCGCAUCAUAGAUGAAUUGCAUAUAAUCCCUUAUGAUUUUUCAUGUAUCCGCAUCACACCCUCCCCUCUCCCUUUCAAGAUUUCAGAAUGACUACAUAACUCCCUAUGAUUUUGGCACACCAAAAAUUUGUGUGAUGGAAUCAUAAUAUCUACUUAACCUUUUUUUUUUGAUAAAUUGGGGGGGGGGUUUGAAUUCAGAAUUUCUUAUUUAUAAUCUCUCCUACCUUACUACUCAAUCCAACUCUUUCCCCUUCCCCCCAGUUAUUAAUAGUAAUCAAUAACAAAUAAAUAAAUCAACUAACAUUGUUGUUUAUAUAUAUAUAUUUUUUUAGCUGCAAAACAACUUGUUAACUUUUCUUUCUUUCAUCAUUUAUAUCUUCGAAAUUAGACCCCUUUAUUUGUGUGACCCUAUAAUUGGUUUUGGAUAUGUAUUCCCACAGGAGAGCAUGAAGUGGUGACAAUAUUACUACAAAAUCUGCGUAUGGAGACGAUGUCAAAGAUGAUUUAGGUUGUGAAAUCUUCGACAUUUGACAUGAAGGUGAUAAUUAUUCACCAUGAGAUUCUUGAAGAGUGAUUAAGGAAUCCCCGUGCCUGUAUCCCAUUUGAAAUUACGCUGUUUUUGCUGAUGGAUGUCUUCAUCGGGUAAUCAAUAGCGAGUGUCCUUCUCCACACCUUGAUAAUAUGUCCUCUGGUUUGGCAAGUGAGACUUUUGGCUAUUUCCCUCGUCUAUCAGAUUACGAGCAUGAAAACUUAAUACCCUUUAUUCUGCUGGAUUUUGGGAGGUUGGUUGAGCCUAAUUAAUUGCGAAAGUGCGGAUCAUCUGAUCCAACUAUAUAUGGAUGCUUAAAAAUUAUGAGAAGGGCAUUUGGACCAAAACACAUAACAUCAUGUUAGAGCCGAGGGAUAAACUUAUAAUUCCUAGAUUUAUGGUGGGCAGGGAAUUAUUAAGGGCGCCCCGUGAUGAUUCCAGUAGACUCUACUACAAUAUUCACACACGAACUUUUUGAUAACAAUAAAACUAAUUCAGGAAAAUAUCUAAAUGUAGGGAAUAGUGAAUGUCUGUGUGUGCAUUCAUAUAACAAAUUAGGUGCGAUUGAGGCUUCUUAACAGGCAAAUAAUCCACGCAAUAUCGAUAGUUUAAUUCUCCAAUAAAAUUAGCUGUUGAUCCAAACCAUUUGGAGCUGAUAAUUCAACAUAGAGUUGAUGUUUAUUUAAUAGAUUCUAGCAUCUUAUUCAACAUAGAGGUUCAUUUGCCCUUCUGGCUACCAUGUGAACCUGAGAAGUAGCCUUGAGUGAUUGUUCCUAUAGACAAUAGCCGAUAUACCUCAAUGCUUCCUUUAAAGAUUAAAGGUCCCCUUGAAAUGCAAGUGAGUCUCCAAAACGUGGUUCAACUUAUUUUGUGGAUUCUUGGCUGGUGGAAUCGCAAAAACAAAUUAGUUUUCAUUUAUUUAUUUAUUUAUUUUAUGUACCAGAUGGAGCAUAACUUUAAUUGGUCUUUAAGCUUCCUAAGUAUUGGCGAAAUAAUACAUCGGCCAAUUAGCUCUGAUACAUCAUAAGCCUUCUGUACGGUUUAUCAUGACAUGACCGAGAAAAGAUAUUACGCUAUGGUUUAGAAUUUUAUGCAAACUCAAGAAAAUCAAGGAAAUACUUAAACCAAAAAAUUAUUUGAAACGAGAAAUAAAUCAAUACUUCAAUGCAUUGUUCCCUUAUUGGUCCAAAUUUUAGAGUUGACCACUAGAUAGACAGCCAAUGUUUUUAUCUUUCUUUAGAUAGCGAACAUCCCUUCUUCAUUUGCUGGCCUUCUCCUUAGCAUGCAGAUCAGAAAAGUAGCCUUUAGGAUCGUUCUCAAAGCCCGUCCUUGAUGUAUAUGCUCCAUCACCACCAGGAGCCUUCAUCAGAUCAUUGGUGCCACCUUUGUUAGUCCCACCACCAGCGCCUGCUGCACCUGCUCCAGUUUCUUUGCCGCCACCACCAGCUCGGGCAACUGGUCCAGUUUCUUUGCUGCCACUUUUGUUAUCCAUCUCAAAUGCCCUUCAAUCUUAAUCGCUAAAAGAAUAGUGGUAGUAGUAGCAGAUAAUAAUUUUGAUGCUGAUGUAUACUUUGGUUAGAAGAUGAGGGGGGUUUAUAUAGGCAUAAUUUGAUUAGGAUGGAUUUAAUGGCUGCACUUGAAAUGAUAAAUUUUUCUUGUGAAUUUAACAGUCAAAUGCAUGACUGCAUGGGGAGACUACUUUGACUACACUGAUUUUUUAGCGUAUGACAUUCAAUUCAAGUAAUUUGUGCCCAGUUUUCAAGUUAUUGGGGGUCAUAACGAAACCUCAGAAUUAUGAACGCCAUUUCCUUGUAGUUUUGUGUUCAAAUUAAGGAACUUAUAUACUCCCUCUGUUCCAUUUUGAUAGUUCUAAUUUUUUUUCACACCGUUUAAAAAAAAGUAGUUAACCCUUGCUAUUUUUGAUACUCUAAUAAUAUGCCACUAAACACAUAGUGCAAAUCUCUUGUACCAUACGUUUAUUUAUUUUAGUGGGAAUGGUACAGAAGUAAUGGAAGAUUGUUUUCAACCAUGCAAUAUUUACCUUCCUUGGAAAAUUCUUGGCAUAAUUUCAGAAACCUCCCUUGAGUUUUUGACAAUUUCACUUAGCUCCCCCGAGAUUUCAAUAAUUACAUCGACCUCCCUUGGUCCAAUCAAAUGACUAAAAUGUCCUCCACUUAAUAGUUAAUUUACAAAGGGACAUUUAAAACUGAAAAAUAUUUCUUAUUAUUCUACUUGCCAUUUUCUAAUCUCAAAAAACAAUCUCCAUCAAUUUUCUAAUUUUCGUCCCUUUCUCUCUCCCUCGCUUCCUCUAUUAUAUUCUUCUCUCUUCUUCUCCUACAACUGCUUUUCACUCCCACCAAAUAUCGUGCGUCAUUGUUACCAACCAUACCACUAUCAAUUUUUUACCAUCUACAAAAUUUAUCUGUAUUUUUUGUUUUCCUGUCUCUUUCUUACUAUAAAAAUUUUAGACCCUUUAUUUUUUUCCCUAUUGUUUUACUCCUUACAAAUGUUAGCCAAUUGAAGUUACCAAAUUAACAAGCUGCAGAUUGUAGAUUUAAUUGUCAAACUAGGGGAAGAUGAAAAAUGUAGCAGUGAUAUAGGAAAAAAAAUGAAAUUGAGAGUUGGAACAUAAAAAGAUGACUAUUAUAUUUGUUAAUCAAAAAAAGUCUAACAAUUACUCAUUGGUUCUCUCUUUUAUUUACUUAUUGAUUGUGAUUUUACUAUAAAGGUAGAAUUUUGUCUCUAUUUUCUAAGAGUGUUAGAGCAACGAUGAAUUAUAUAUUUAGGGACAUGGGGUCAUUUCUUAGUUUAAUAUUGGUAGUGGUGGUGGUGAGUUGCAUUAGGCAAAAAUUAGCAAGUAAUGAAUUUUGAGAUGAGUUGGAGUCGCUGGACUUUGUUUGUUUUAGUAAGUAUGUGUUGUACAAGAAAUUAAAGAUUAAAACAUUGUUUUAUUUCGUCUUAUUCUCUGAAGAAGGGUAUUUUAAGAUAGUUGAAAAAAAUUAUAAACUAUUGAGUCUAUAUUGUUACAUAAACCUUAAAAGCAAGGGAGGUAUGUGUAAUUUUUAAAAAUUGAGGGGAGCUCUUCGUAAUUGCUAGAAAUCUCAAGGGAGGUUACUGGAGGGUUGAAAAGCCUGAGCCUGUAGCAUGUGUUGCUGGGAAAGCUAUGAAGAUCUGAUGAAAAAUUACAAAGUAUUGGCACUAUGUUAGAACUCUUGGUGGAUUUUUGGUUUAUUUUUCCAGUUUAUGGACUUGGAUUUUACUAUUAAGAUAGUUUCAAGUGUUAAUUUUUUUACAAUAAUAAAACUAAUUCAGGAAAAUAUUAAAAUACAGAGGAUAACAAAAGUGAGUGUAUGCAUACAUAUGUCAAGUUAGAUGCGAUUUAGGUUUCUUAACAUUAUAAAUCCUACUAAAUUUUGCAUAUUUCUCUGUUUUUUUUUUAAAGAUAAGUUAUGCACUUUUGCUAUGUUUAGAAUAUUCUAAUUCUUUCCUUCCUAAUUUUUUCCCUACAUAUGUACAUAUAAUUAAAUCUUCACAGCUUGACUUCUCUAGUAAAACAAUAUUAAUUUUUCCAAAUUUGAGAUUAUAUUAUUGUAUAUUUUGUAACAGCAUAGUAACAUCUGGAACGGUAGAUUGGUGAUUGAAAGAGUAAUUUGAGCAUCUGACUAAGUUGGAAAGGAAAAAAGUUAGUCUUUAAAUUUUUUUCCUUUUUGUAAAUAUUGCUAUUUUUCAAUAUAAAUCUUGGUAAAUAUGUUUACAAAUCAAAGGAUGUUCAAGCAAAGGAAAAUAAUGAAGAGUUGACAAUUUUACUUCUAUAAUUCCAGUGGCAUCUAUCGUUUCACAGCGUCUCAUCAGCCUCUUUUAAUUGCAACAACCAGGAAAGUUUAAUAUUAUGUACACAAUCUCUCAAUUCUCAAUCAGAGAAGCCUCAUGUAUCCAUGAAAUGGAGGUUCAUAAGCUCGACUUGUACGAAAAACGAAGAAGAAGGAAAAAAAAAGGAAGAAGAAGAAGAAGAAAUUAGACACAAACGUAAUAAUUUUGCAUGUGAUGCCCAGAAAAACAACUUUCUGUGCCUAAAUGUAUGGAAAAUCUGUAUAUUUUCCUUCCCAUGAAAUACUAGUGUCAAACUUAGGAUGUUAUUUUCUAAGAAACAAUUUUUAUAUUUUCCGUGACCACAUUUCUUAAUCAUCUUUUUAUCUCACAUACAUCAAAUUAUUACAAUAUAUAUAUAUUUAAAAAAACUUCAAAAAAUAGCGAUCCAAGUGGAAACUAAAAGCCAAGCUUUUUAAUGUGGACAAAUGAAGUUGAAGAUCAAUUGGGAGCAUCCAAUAUUGCUAUACUAUCUGAAAAAAAUUGUUACAUCAAGUCAAACAAAGGAAGCUGCAUUCUCUAAUGAUCGAGAAUUAAGCAACAUCCUUUGUAUGUCAAGUACAAGACUAGAAUUUAGAAACAUGAGGGAAAAAAAAAGCAUCUAAUUUCUUUUCUUAAUCCAUGGCUAAUAGACUAAUGGUGAUGGGCUUGAUAAUGACCCCCUACAUAAUAUGACAAAUUGGACCCAAGCUCACAAUUAUUGAUACUACAAUGAUUCAUCAUCAUAUUAGUUUUUCACAUUAUGACAAUGAUGUUUGUUGCUUACACUAUUCUCGUUUCGUCUUUUAUCUUGUAAAUUUCUACAUUUGUUUAAGCCGUUCGAUUUCUUACCCCCCAGCAAGUCUAGUUGCCCAACAAUACCAUCUAACAAGGCAAGCAACGCCAAUGCCCUUAAAACUAUUUCUUCUAUGACAUUAAAAGUUAUUUUGGGGUGAAAUAAAACUCUUAUUGGGUAUUUUAAAUUUUUUCUUUUUUUUUUGUACAUGUCAAGAUUUUUAAUUCGGGAUGAAUCUAAAAAAAAAAAAGAGCAAAAGUUCUUUCCCAAAUUAAAAAUUUUUGUCAGCAACUGUAUUUAUCUAACACAAAUUAUCUCUUAUUGGAAAUACUAAACAACGUAUAUUUAAACAACGUGGACAUCAUUUUGCCAGAGAGAGAGAGAGAGUGUGUGUGUGUGUGUGUUCAAUUUUGGUUUUUUUUUUCCUCCUUUGUUUUUCUUUUCUUUAUGAGAAACUAAUAAAGAAGAGAAGACGAAGUGAUCUUCAGCUCUGUAUGGAUUUUUUUCGCUUUCUGUUACAUUUCUUUUUCCAUGUCCUCUAAGCAGUUUUCUUUCACUUUCUGUUACAUCUCUUUUUCCAUGUCCUCUAAGAAAAAGCUGCUUCUUCUUCUUCAAUAUAAUUAACGUCUUUUUGGGUCCAAGCAGGGGCAGCAAACUAGUAAAGUUUUCCAAGCCAAUAUAUUUCUGUCUCCUUUGGUCACAGGGAGUGGUCCAAUACCGACCUCAUGAACAAAUAAAAUGGCCAAUUUGGGACUUGUAAGGCAAGAUUAGCGGCUGUCAUGACAAUGAUCCUCAACAAUGAAAGCUUUAAGACCCCUUUUUUAUUUUUUAAUAAUCUGUGCGAAUUAUUAUUUCUCAUGAAUCCAAAUUUGUGAUCUUCUUCAUUUAUUAUUUUUUUUUUUUUUUUGCAUUCUUUGAAGAAUAAUACAUAACUCCAAACACUGUAAACAGUUAUAUAUAGAGCCUUAAUAUAUAAACCAAAAGACAAAAUCACCUAACAAUUGCAAAUUUUUCCUGGCAGGUAUAUGAGGUAUGCCACUUUCAAAAUUGUUAUAUUUUUUUCAUUAUUUGUUGUUUAAUUUCUGUCAUUAAUCACAUUAUCUUGUUGAUCACAUAAUUAAUACGUUAAUCUACUCUAUCAAUGUGGUAAAAAUUAACUAUGUGUAAAAGUGUUUCUUUUGUCAGCCUUUCAUUUCCCAUUUGGUGAAUCCACCAAAUCCCCAAAAGACCAUUUCAUCGCUCUAUGAUUUUUCCCUUAUCUUUCUAUGCCUAGUUUACAAAAAUAAAUGACCGGAAAAACAUAGCUAUACAUAUUCUACCUAUAGUUUAGCCUGAAAAAGAACCCAAAAAAGGGAAAAAAAACUAUUUCAAAGGUCCAAAGCAAUAAUUUGCGGUUGAUUUAUAUGAUCAUAUUUCCAAAUGGAAGCUAAGAAAAGCUCAAUUCUGUUUUCCUGAAUACCGGCAAGUCAUAUGACUUUUCUAUCAAUAGAAAUAAGGUCUCCAGCUCAUAAAUGAUAUCAAUUUCAAAGGAAAUUAAAUGUUGACCGAUGGAUUGGUAGAGUAAUUUUGUAACAAAUUGGCAAAAAUAAAAAGAAUCCACGCAAUCUUUCCUUUUCUAAACAUUUAAUUCUUUUUACUAAAUGCAUUUUCAAGUCCUUCGAUUGAAAGUUCAAACCAAUUUCAUUUUCACGACUGUACCCAAUUUCCCAGCAGCUCCUAGGAAGCUGCCUCCACUGCUUCUGUGGUACUAAUUUCCUGACUCAGUCAGGCCCAUCAAUUUAUACCAAAAUUAAUAUUCAUGCAAAUAGAAAAAAAAUAAAAAAAAAGGGCUAGAAAAACAAUUUUUUUAUCCAACAAAAAAGAAAAGAAAAGAAAAACUAAUAUCACUACUGUUCUGAGAUUCAAACGUUAAUAUACAAGCAACAGCCUUAUCUGGAAAAAACAGGCUCUUCUGUGAUUGUAUCCAACAAAGGUUUCCUUGAUUUGCACGAUGCUAAUCUAAAUCUAUAUUCCAUAUCCUUAAACCCUUCAAUCUCCUCCAAAUUCAACCUCGACCGCCCAACUUCUUGAUCAUCAUCUCUUGUCACCGCGGCGGCCGCCACCUCAGGUUCAACUUUGCCACCGGCUAUCCGCCUCGCAGCAGUGUUCGCCGCCAUCAAAACCACCGCCAUAUCAGCUGCAGUGACGAUGGAAUUCACGCGUUUCAUCUGAAACAUGAUAUAAACGUUGCCAAACUCCAAAUCUUCAUCGGCAGAAAGGGCGGAAAAUCUUUUUCCAAUGUUCAAGGACUUAGAGUUCACCAAGAAGUAGUUUGGACAUUCUAGCAUGAGUUCUGCUGCCUUCACCAGUUGCCGGAACUGCCGUACUUCACCGCCUGGGAGAAUAACCCUGGCGGCCCUGGUGGUUUUCAUCAACGGAGUCGGAAGAGUGCUGCAUGACAUCAAGUUUCCCAUGAUGGAAGGGGGGAGAGAGAGAGAGAGAGAGAAAGGUGUUUGAAGUGCUGUUUAGUGCGUGUCUAUGUGUGAACCGGUGGAAUUGCUUUGCUAUUUAAAGAGCACAACUAUUGCGCGUGGAGGCUAUAAUUUACUACUAAUAAUUAUGUGUGGGUUGGAGUAACACAAAUAUCAAUUUUCAAAUUAAGCAAUUAAUAGUCUAGAAAUCCAAUUAUAGGAAAUUUUUUGACUUUCCUUCUUCUUUCUUUUUUUUAAAUUUCCAAAACCUAUUCCCUCAAUUUGGAGAAUCGUUUAUUGUUUAUUAAUUUUUUUGUGGGGAGGGGGGGGGGGGGAGGGAUAAAUGGCAAUGUGAAUUUAAAAAAGUGGUUCAAGAUUUUUUAAAAAGAAAAUCAGAUAGCAACCUUAUCCAAAUACAGUUAGUAGAGUAUAUGUUAGGCUCAAGAGAAUAUAAGCAAAUCACACGCACUAAAACUUUCAUUUAAGGUGGGAAAUGGAAAAUUAAUUCAUUUCAAUAAGAUAAAACUAUAUAUAUAAGCAAUAAUAUCCACAAAUUACAUCCUAUUGAUUAGGAUAAGAUAUUUUUUUGCUUGUGAUAAGAUUUUAAAGAAAUUUAAAAUGUAACAACGAUAUGUCCUACAAAAGUUCAAUGUGAAAUGAUGAGGAAAUUGUAUAGAAAUGACUCAUCCUAGGGAUGUUUGAGCUUGAACCCGGAUGACAAGGACAUAUAAUUAUAGUUAAGGGAUCCUUAAUAGGAGUUAGGAUCUAGCCACCCUAGUACUAGAAAUAGCUAAGGGCAACAAAUUCGAUUACUAUUUGGCAAGGACAGAGCUCUAACGCAGAAGUCCAGAACAGAGACUUUUGCGGCUGGGUUUGACUAGGGUGUCCGCGUUGGGGGCGAAAUUUGUGGAAAAGAUGAAGGAAAGUUAUAGGAAUUAGUUUCGUAGUUUUGAGUCAUUGGUGUCACGAGUCCUUUGGCAUUGAUGCGUGUGGGGACUGCGACCCCGUGGGAAAAUAUGGAACUUUGGCUUUGUGAACCGAAUCCGAAUGCUCAGUCUUUGGAAGCUAGUACUCAAGUUUAGAACCAGAACUGUCUAUCAACUAUGAUCUAAUUUCUUUACCUAGCAAAACAAACAAACAAACAAACAAACAUCUUGGUUUGGUUUAUUCUUUUGUUUUCUUUAUGUGUUUCCUUGAGAAUAACCAAUUUAUCUGCAGAUUUUUGUGGUGUACAAUGUGCAAGCUUGAUGUAUUAUUAUUGGGCUCAGAGGGGAUUACUCUUUGCCAGCUUUUAAUUUACAUGAUAUGCUCUCAAAGUUUUGAGGAUUGUUGGUUAGAAAUUACUAGUAUUUAAGAUAUAUGGAUUAAUUUUUGUUAUACAUUAUCACUUUAUAGGUAAAAGUUAUUUCUAGUGUAAUAAAACAUGAGUAUACUAAGGAAGCUAGUUAAGUUUAGUACAUGUCUAUUGUGAUUAUUUACAUCAUUUCACGCAUACGGGCUCAGGUAUAAGUUAAAUAUACUAAAAAGUACUAAUCAGACACGCCCGUUAAUAAAAUUCUUUUUUUUUUUAAGGAAGAGAAAAUAUGGUAGAUUAUGAGAUAAUAUUUUGCAACCUAACCGCUUUUGAAAAUUGAAACACUACCAAAUCAUCCCUAUGGCCUGCCUAAUCUGCGGAUUACUUUUGUGUUGCGGUCGAAAUUGCAAGUAACUUUUCUUUUUAUUAGUGCAGUAGAUUAAAAAACAUUGAGAGUGUCAACUUCGUGGUAUUGCUUUCCAACAGCCACCCAUGCGAUUGCCCUUUUAAAUUCUUGGCCACCUAGACUUUCCACGCGAUUUAGUGGUCCUUUAGGCUGCGGAAAAUGAUUUUCCAUCAAAUCAUUUCUUGACAACUUACAAGGUAACUGCAAAUCAUGCAUUAUUGAAGGCUUAUGUGGUCAGGCUAUGAUUACUUUCAUUUGACUUAAGCGUUAUGUUUAGUUCUUGCUGUUGAUACAAUUUUAGCUUUGCUGUCACGUUCUAGUUCAACAAGGGAGAUAAUUCACUAACCUUUCGGCACAGCUUCAUUUUCCCAUGGCCUAGUUUUGAUGUAUGAUGGGGUAGGGCAAGAACCAAAGUUUCAGCUUUACUCUUUUGCCUGGAGCAUUAGGAACUCUAGUUACAUAAGUGGUCACUCUUUAAAAUAUAUAUAUAUAUAUAUAUUCAAAAAAUUGUAAGACAGGUUGAAAAGCAAAAUUAUCAAACCACAAAAUCCUGCAUGCCCUUGCAUUUUUUUUUUUUUCACAAUAUCAAGAAAAUGCAGUGCAGUUGCAUAUGUGAAACUUCGGGAGUUAAUCCGCUAUCAAAGGCGUGGUUGCCGUCACUGUUUUGAUUGAAUUAAUAAGGGGCGUUCCCUAACUGAGUAAAUUAAGAUUAAACAUCAUUUAAUGUUCAACAGUGAUUUGGACCAACCAACUUCUAGUGAUUUUCUAAUUAGUAGCGUCUACGGCAUCUCAAUUUAAAAGUCAAGGGGAAUUUACUUCGCGAUCUACAAGUAAUACACUGGAUUCCAUAAAAAAACCGACAAGAGGAAAAACACGGAGAGAGAGAGAGGGUAUAAUUGCUUUGUUGGUAUGCUUAUUUCACCUUUUAAUUUAUCAUUUGAAUAUACACUCACCCCAUUUAUUGAGACACUCGUAAGGUUUAAAUUUACUUCAUUGUGGGGGAAAAAAAAACUAAAGGUGUGUUUAAUAAAAUUGAAAUAUAAAAAUAUGAAUUUUGAAAUCUGAAUCUAUUUAAGUUAUUGAUUUUUUAAAAAAUUUUUUAUUGAAGUUACUGAAUUGUUAUUUAAGCGCAUUCUGCAUUAAGUGAUAAAUAAUUUAUUUAUCACUUAUUUUUUUUAGAGUAAGUUUUGUCUGAGCAAUUCAAAUUCACUUAAUUGAUUAAAAUGUUCUAUUUUUCAUCACGAAACACGUUUGAACAUGAUAAGAUCUUAAUUCUUUAAAUUUAAUUUAACUGCUGAAUUGAAUUAUCCAACAGGCCUAACAGGACAUGUAAAACUUAUGUUAACGAGAUUUUUUUUUUACUAAACACCUAUUGGAUAAACCUACACAAUAGAUCAUUACAGAUUUCUAAGCCAGAUAAGAGGAGAAAAGAAAAAGUGAAAGCCGACAUCUACUUAAGAUUCCUUGAAUGCAGAAGAAAAAAUGGUAUCAGGAUUAAUUAUCCACUUGGGGAUUCCGUACUACACUGAUGAUCAUCUUGCUGUCACCAAACUCCGUGUUAAUAUGUCGACUGAUUCACACAAUUCUUUGGAGAAAUUGACUCCAUCCUAGUAAACAAUUGCAAUAAGACUGUAUAUGCAGGAUACGUUUAUCAAGUCAACCAAUUGACUAGUAUCAGUUUAUCAUAAUUAGCUAGCCAACCGACGGCUUUUGAAGAGAUCCCCAUGUGGGAUUAAAAGUUCAUUAGCCUUUUAUUUAUUUAUUUUUUUUUAGUUUUAUGUUAAGAGCUGAUAUAUUAUGAAUUAAUUAACAAGGACCAGAUGACGGCCUUGUCGGUUUGUAGAUUGCAGUUCCAAUUACCCACAAUUUAAGAUUCAUUUCUUACUUUUUUUUUUCAAUUUAUUUAUUCAAAACUCGAAGAUUCAAAACAAUCAAGAUUGCAUAAAAUUAUGCGAUUGAAUAUUGACCUAACAUUUUUUUCUUCUUCUUCUUUUCUUUGUUAUUUAUUCUUUACGUUGUAGCUUGUAUGUUCUAGAAAAGGCAAAUUAAAAAUAAACAGGACACAAUUAGAACGUGUUCUUAGGACAUUUUGACAACUUGUUAUUUAUCACCUUGUAAUCUUGUGAUCUUAGGAGCUUCAGACUAGAUAAUAUGCAUUGGUAGGUAAGGGUCCAUGCCCCUUUUUGUUAAACAAUUGAAGAUAUAAGUAUAGUUCAUAUAACAAAAAAAAAUAGUUUUUAUGCCUAAACAAAUCCUUCUAGAAAAUACGUACUCAGUCACAAAUAUAAAUUGAUCUCAACAUCAAGAAGGUAGUUCUGAAAUAGUCACAUGAACAGAAAUUAUCCAAACAUGAAUUUAGGUAAUAGUCUACGGUUUGCAAAAUAAAUCCAUAAAUUGCGCAAUUCCGGUUGUAAGCCAAAUCUGUACGUAAAAGAACGCUUCAACUCAUAUAGAAGUAAACUGAGUCAAGAUGAAUGCUCGAUCAAAUUUAUAAACAUCUAAGUGACCUUAAAUCCUAUGAUCUUUAGACACAAAUCUUAUUUUGUAAGAGCUUAAAGAGUUGUGUACGUAUAGAUCACAGUUCCCUCAACCAAAAAAAAUAAAAUUGUUGGUGAAUAUAAGUUAAAAGAAGAACGAAAGAAAGAAAGAAAUUGUGUUGUUCACCUAGAUUAUACUAAGUGGAAUCCUACUCUCCAUGUAGAGAUCAUAGGAAAUAACUUCAAAUAUGAAUUUAUGCAUCUCAUCGAGUUUCACAUAUAAAUUCUAACAGCAACAUGUUGGAAGAGAAAUAUAUGAAAUGAGAAUGAUCAACAGGUCCAUGAGUAGAUAAGGAUUGAUGCAGCAGUUCUUCUCCAAAAUUUGAAGAAGAGGACUGCAUCUGCUUAUCAGUUAUCAAUAUUUGCAAGGAUUAAAAGUCUCUUUUAGGGGUUCCUAACAAGAGUUUUCCCUUUUUUAGGAUUUUCUAACUAGAGUUUCAUUUUUAUUAGAUUGUUCUAAUGAGAAUUCUUUUCUCUCUUAAAAUUUUCUUGUGAGGAGUUUUCUUUAUUUUUAGUUAUUUAUCUUGUUAGAUCUGCAAUUUCUUAGAUGUGUUUUUGGAGACCUAGAAAUUCUCAAAUUUAUUCUGUUGGAUUUUUUUUCUUUUAGUUUGAAAGAGUUUUACAUUGGAUUUGACAAUUGAAGAUAUGCACAAAUUUGGGCUCCAAGAUAUUCGUCCGAUGUUGAUAGAUUUUUGGAUCUUCAUAGUACUAUUUUACUUUUUUAAAUUUCCAAAUUUGUUGCGUCCGUCAAUUUUCAAAUUGUUUUUAUCUAUUGUAUGUUCGAUGUAUUGUCCGUCGUUAGUACAGAUUUAUGGAAUAAAAUUAUUUUGUUUAUCAAAAAGAAAUAAAUGAUCUUGUUAUUUCAUAUUAAAAAAAAUUAAGUACCCCAUUAGGGAAAAAAUAAAAAAACUCUUUUUAAACAGACAUAGCUAAACACAUUUAUGUAACAUGAUAGUAGCCAGAACUAAGUUAGGCAUGUAAAUGUGUCCCUGUAGUUCUACCUGCGUAGGUGACCGAAUCUUUAACACUUGCAAUACAAAAUUUUUUUGCCAUUGACCAGUUACAUAGGUAAAACCCAAAGAAUUAUCCAAAAUCCGGAAUAAAUAUCUGACGUUAACAACAUGACAUAAAUAUUUCUUUAACUGACAAAAAAAUCAAUAUUAAUUUAUUCUGUGGCACUGCAAAUUAAUUGUUUUCAUUCAUAUGCAAUUUAGGUCAUCUUGCUAUCACCAAACUCUGUGUUAAUGUGCCGACUUAUUUAUAUAAUUCUCUGGUGAAAUUGACUUUUAUCUUAAACAAUUGCACAAAACUGGGUGCCAUGCGUUUAUGAGCCAACCAAUUGACUAAUAUCAAUUUUUUUUUUAUCAUGAUUAAAGCUUACCUAACGGCUUAUGCUCAAAUCCCAUAAUCCAUUUGGUACUAAAGUACUUUCAUUAACCCUUUUUUUGAUAUUGGGAGCUGGUCUAUUGUGACCUAAUUAGGACCACAUCUCAACCUUGUCUAUUUGUAUACUAAAGUAUCACGUACUGACAAUUUAAGGUUCAGUAGUUAGAUAAUAAACAAUUUAAACAACCAAACGCGUUUGGUCUAGUAGAGCCAAAAUCGAAACUACUUUUUUUUUUUUUUUUUGGAAGGAAAACUGCCCAUUGUCAAUUAGUUACAUGUCAUUUUAUGUUUGGUGAAUUAAUCAGCUUAAUUAAAAUAUUAAUGUGUCCAAGAUUGCAACAGCCACCCCAUCCAACCCUGUGAGGGAAAUUGUGACAACAGAGUGCUCAAACUUGAUCUUCUUCUUGCCCUGAUUUAAGUAAAUUAUUCGUCAUUAAUUACCUAUUUAAGUAAACUCAAGUACCUCGAAGUCCAAGUAAUUAAACUUACUCAACUACAAGCUUGAUUAUUACCAAGAUCAAUUCUUCGCCUUGAACUUUUCCGAGUAUAUAGCCUCUAAUCCUAAUUCUAGAAGAUUUAGACAUAACUCCAUAACUGACUAGGUCUGUGUUAAGUACUGCCUUCCCAGGAAAUAAUAAUUUCUCUUGCAGUCCUUGUCUAGAUUAAAAGACUAAGUCUAAGCGGAUUCCUACUCUCCAAGGAAAUAAUAAUUUCAAACACAUGAUUCUUGUUUCUCAUCAACAUACGUUUGAGUACUUCUACCAUGUUGGAGGAGAAAUUUUAUAAAAGGAUAAACAAGUGCAGGAGUAGGAAAAUCAAUCAAUUGCUUAUGAAUAUUGUUGCUCAGAAAGGGUAAUGUUUGCCAGAGUCUUCAAGUUGAUGGGUCGAAUGCUGGUGCGGCCUCCGCUCCACAAAGCCUUGGAAAUGAGUUUGUAAGUGCGUUCAGAGGGGUGGAAGUAAUCCCAGAACAAGUUUCGAUCUGGCUCUGGACAAACUGUGUAACCCUCUUUUCCACAUUGCACCAUUCCGCCAAGAGUUCCAUAACCACAACAUGCAUUUGUUACAUCAUUGAAGCCUGUUAUAUAUCAAAUAUCAGUGGUCAGUAAUGAUACACAUGAAACCAAUUUUAUGCAAAAAAAGGUUAGUACAAGUUUUGAGAGACGAUAUGCAGUGAAAAACUUAACAAGGAGAGAAUCAUACUCCUCAUGAACCCCUAAAGAAAAAUGGACAACAUUUUAAUGGAUUCAAGAAAACCAAAAAUGAAAAAGUAGAUGGAAUCAAAGGUAAAGAGAAAGGGUGGUGCCGUAGUGGGGAGGCAACUAAUGCCAAUUUUUAGAUAGUUAUUGACUAAGUUUGGCUGAUUCUUGCGUAGAACCAUUUUUGAUUUUGGGUCAAAAGGAGGGUUUAAGCCCAUAAAACCAUUUUUGACACUAACACAAGUAGGAUAAAAAGUCAUAGUUACGAGAUUCACGGCCUAAUUAACCAACCAGUCUAAUCUAGGACUUUGAAAAAAAAUGCUCCAGAAUGAUUAUUCAUAUGACACAAAAAUUUAGGAGAAAAAGCGUAACAAUUAUAACUUUCCUUCACAUUUUCUUUUCAUUUCAUUCUAGGUCGAACAGACGAGUAAACUUGUGAAAAACAAAUAUGAAAAAGAUUACCGUAUUGGCUCGGAUUGUCUCGAAAAAGUUGGACAGUCUUAUAAACCGCUCCAUAAACAGCAAUUGCGCCAGGGUACUUGCUAGGAAUGGCCUUAACAAGAUUUUCCAAUCCCAUGUUGAAAUUCUUGACCAUUUUGUUCAUCUUUCCAUUGCACUUAUCAGUUGGUGCACCAGGCAAAAGGGCCCUUGCUGGGACACAGCCAACAGGUCCUAGUGAAAAUAAGGCAAUUUUGCGUGCCCCAAGCUCAUAAAUUUGGUCAACAAAGUUACCAACUUGUUUUAACAUUUCUUGGACAUAAGCAUCUGGGCUAAGAGUUGGGGCUUCAAAUGGAAAAAAGUAGUUGAAGGCAUCAUUUGAGCCUGAUUCCAAGAAGAACAGAGACUGCUUCACCACUUUCUUGUCUAGAUGAUUUUGCUCUAUCAGUGACUUGAAUUGUUGCAGUUGGGUUUGGAGUGAUGUGACAUUCUGGAAUUGAAAUACAUAAGAAUGUCAUGAUUUGAUUCUAAGAAGAUCUAAAAAUUGAUUAUUUGGUUCAGAUUUGAAUAUUUAUUCUUAUCUUACCAAAUCUUUGUUGGUUGUGGAAAGAACACCGCUUCCAGCGCUAGCAAAAUUGAUGCCAUUAGAUGGAUAAUUCUUUAGAGUUCCAUUAAUUAUAUCAAGCUGUGCCUCGAGGAAUGGUUUUUGUAACGGGAGACCAAGAAAUUGAGCUGCAUUUUGAAAGCAUGAAUUUAGAAUAACAGAACAAAAAAGAAAAGCAAAUGUAAUAUAUAUUAAGAUAAAUUUCACUUUAUACCCUAAAUAUAUAUUAUAUUUAUUUUAUUGUACUUGUAAUAUUUGGCAUCCUAUACUCAUGACAAUUAGCACCAAGGCGCUAUACAAUUUUUUUUUUUUUUUUUUUUUUUUUUUUGUUCUUUUUCCAAAUUGGCAUAGUUUCUUAUGAAUCUCUUAUAUCAGGAUUCGAAACAUUGCACCAUAAGAUAAUAAGAGGUCAGAACCAAAUCAUGAGAAAUUAGGGUUAAAAAAAAGCACAUUUGCAAUAUAUUUGAGAGUUUAUAGGAAAAUCCAUCCUGACUUUUGUGCCUGCAUUAGUUUAAGAAAGGCAAAAGAAACACUCACAUAAGAAAUCUGCAACUGUUCUACCAUUGGUGAAUCUUCCAGUAGGGCGGUGAAAGAAAGUUGAACCAUAAGGUGGAAAAUCAGCUUGAGCAGCACAGUACUUGUUAUAGUGAUUGUUUCCGGCAUCAAAAAUUGAGUCUCCAAAUACGUAGAUUGAUGAUACCUUGUAUCCUAAAACAGAUGACAAAAAGUUUAGGAGGAGAAAGAAUAUGAGGGUUUUCUCCAUCAGGGCUUAUGUGAGUAAUGCGCUAGAGAAAAAGGAUGAUGUGAAUUUAUCUGACUAGAAAGAGAGGAGAAGAAAACAAGGAGAGUGAUGAAAUGAAACGGAAAGCACGAGCUCAGGCCAUGCAUGAUGAGCAUCAUCAUUCAUCACUUUCUGAUCAAAAACAGCUAGCCAAAACUGUUACUUGCCACCAGAAAAAUUUGUCUUUUUCUGCAAAAAAUAGUUCUAUUUAUCUGCUGUUUUUUGCAUUUAAAGUUGUGAACUUGAGAUGAAAUGCAUGCUGCAAAGGAAAAUUUUUUUCCAGUAGACAUUUGACUUUCUCAAAUGUAUUUGCGUUACUUUUGAAAAUCCUGUACAUCCCCUUUAGCCAUGGUUUUCCUUUUUUCUAACUUAUUGAAUUUUUGUUUAACUAAAAUUGCAAAAGCAAGUCUUCUUUUCCCCAAAAUGAACAGAGACUAUAACUAUAUGGAGACCAACAAGAAAAGAAUAUAAGCACACAUGAAGAGAGCUCCUUGAUAUGUAGAUAGUAAACAAAUUUUAUGCAAAAUUUCGCGGCCUUGAUCCUUUUAUUUUAGAGAUGUGUACUCAUUGUUUUCUUGGAAUGUCCAACAAUCUUUUCUAUUUAAAAUUGGGAUGGGAAAAGAGAAACUAAAAACAGGAGGGGAAGUGGUAAAGGCCUGUUUUUUUUUUCAUGAUGAAGUAGAAAGCGUCAUAAUGAGUUCUCUCAAGUUAUUUCUCAUCUAAAAGACUUCAAAUUUACAUAAGUUUUGGACAUCCUGAAAAACAAUGCAAGCUAGAAGGACAAACAACUAAUUUGUAAAAGAAUGAUGAGGCAAACCAAUUGUUAAUAAUCAUAAUUACUUAUUAGUGGUAUGCUUCGAGUUCAUCAGAAGCCAUUUUUCAGCAUAGACAUUAUACAAGUCUACUUAUGAUAGAAUACUUAUUACUUAGUUGCUGUCUAAAUACUACAAGAAAUUCUUGAUUCAGGUAGGACACUUUGAGUAAUUACUAUUACUUAUGUGGGAGUUUUAAUCAUGCAAAAUACAAGUCACAAAAAGUAAAUUUGGUCACAGUAGAAACUGGAGAUUGACAUCUUAUGCCUGAAGAAAUUACUUCUGGAUGGAAAAAUUUUAUCAUCUUUUUGGAUGAAAAUUAACUAUCAAUUUGACAGUUAGAGGCAGGAGCAAAUUGCAAAUAUAAUGGAUUAAUAGGGCCAAAUGCAACUUGCCCUUUAAUUACAAGGUGUUUAGCGUAAUUGAGCCAUUCUUUCGUAGGUUGUAUAACUUGUAUUCAUAAUUUUAGCGCUCCCUGCUCCCUUGCUGGUUGCUGCAUUGACCGCCUCAGACCCCCAACAAAAAAGAAAAAAUCGCAGUUGAUUUCUUCGCGGAAAUCAGUGAAAUGAACAGAGAAAUAGAAGAAAUCCAAGAAGAUUUAUUAGCAAAGGCAGCAAAAGCAGCUGAUGAGCUCUAUAACAUUCGGGACACCUACUUUCCUGCGGACCCAAAUGACAAAAUAUCCAAAUUGCAAGCUGAAUCGGAUCUUGUCCUGCAAACCCUCAAUUCCAUUCCUCCAGGUAGAAACAUGUACUUGUGCAUUACAAAUUUAGCAAAUUAGUAAAAAAGUUUCAUUUUUGUUAUUGGGUUUAAGAGAUUUUCCUUUCUGGAUUGAUGUGCAGAAAACAGGAAAUUGCCAAUUCAACGUGCAAUGUACGAGUACUUGAAAGGGAAAGUAUUGGAUGUCUUCUCUGAUUAUAGGAAAGAUGCUGAGGAUCAUCUCUCAAAAGCAGUGAGUAUAAAAGAAUUGAUUUGUAUCAAAUGGGUCUUUGUUUCUAUUUUUGUCUAUUUUUAAUUGAAUUGUUUGAUUUUGCUGAAAUUGAUGGUUUUUUUUUUUUAAUUUUAACUAUUUUUGGUGCUAAAGGUUAAGUUGAAUCCAUCUCUUGGAGAUGCAUGGUUGAGUUUAGGCAACUGUAUUUGGAAGAAGGGAGAUUUAUCUGCGGCUAAGAAUUGUUUUAUGCUUGCUUUAAGCAAGGUCAUUUCUUGUUUUAUUCUUUGAAAACUUUGUUCAUUUUAUUAGUAGUAUGUUAAGUCAUGCAGUGAUGUAAGUUAGCUAGUUGAUGAUAUGAGACUGAUGUUGUUUCUGUCCAGGGCCCCAACAAAAGGAUACUCUGUCAAUUAUCUAUGCUCGAAAGGAAAAUGGCUCAAGGCAAGAAUUUUAUGGAUAUUGCUCUAGUUCUUUUCCAUGUAAUUUUGCUCAUUCUUUGACUGUCUUCCUUUGAGAGAUGGGGGAAUCCAUGAAUGAAUGACUGGAGUAAUAGUAUGGUGAAGCUGAAGGACGUGCCAAAUUGUAAAUGUGAAUUUAUAGCUGUUGAAAGUCAGAGAUCCUUACUUUAGAAUCUAGCGUAGUAAGAUUUUGAGUAUUACUUGAGGUAGGUUAUCAUGGUUUUUGAAAAUUUUGAGCUUAUCCAAGCGAUUAGGGAAAUGUGGCUAGCCAGAUAUCCUUAGUCAUGGAGCGUGACUCAUAUGUUGGUUCUGGCUUUGUUGCACUGUGACCUCGAUGAAUAACUGUUCUCUUUGAGACUUUGACUGCUAAAUUUCCUAUAUCUUUUGUCACAAUAGAUAUCUUUGCCCAGCUAAACGUAACACUGAUCAAAUCAUUUAUCACGUAUUGCCUUUUCGAUUUUGGGAAAGAGUAAAAAAAAAGAGGGUUGAAACACCAUGGCAUGUUCAAGCUUCUUUGCUGCUUUGGUCCACUACACAGCAGAAAAUAUUCUCUGGACCUCCUGCAGUGAUAUGAUCUUAGAUGGUUGAAGCUUCAAGUUCCGCACUUCUCUGGUAGUUUAUUCUGAUUCUCUGUAAAUCCAUUGUGGCCUUUUCAUCGAGGAUUAUCAUGGAUAUGCUUUAAUAACUUUAAUAUGAGGAGAUAAUUUUUAUCUAUACUGUUACACAGCUGUUACUCAUAGAAGAACUAGAUAUGUUAUGAUGCCUCUAUUCAAAUAGACUGAAAAACAGUAACAACUUUAAAUAUCCUAAUGGCAGUUUCAACUCUGACAUCUCCAUGUCUUUAUCCAAAUUUCACCAUACAAGCCUUAUUGACAACACAACUCCACUUUUUCCUGAUACUCUUUGCUGCUCAUAUGUAUCCCUGCUUACAAUUCGUAAAAAUACUAGAGUUGAAUUUAGCUGAUGACUUCUUGUGCUAUUCUGCUCAUCAGAUUCAUUAUCCACUUUCCAGGUACUGAAAAACAGGCAGAAAUUGUUGAAGAGAGCAUUAAACAUGCAAGGGAAGCUAUUGCUCUUGAUGUCAGGGAUGGAAAUUCCUGGUGUGAGUUUCUAUUAUAAGUCAAAUUCUUCUGUACUUCCUUUUCUAAUUUAUUAGUUAAAGAUCUGGUGUAGGGUAUUCGCAUUGCUUGGCAGAGCGCAUGCUUUAAUUUGAGCAUUUGUUUGUGAAACUGAAUGUUAGCUGUAAAACCUGCCUACUGACAACUAGAGUAGUCCUUGUCUUCUCACUUAACAUUCCAAAUCAACAUGCAUGCUUGUGUGGACUCUGGCAUCAGUGAAUGGUUAGGACUGAAAAGUGUUGAUUCAGCCUUCAUCUGAAGCAAAGAUCUGGAGACAUGGGAGAGUAUUACCAACUUCUAAUGCUGAGAUUUUGCAUAAUGAUAACUUUAACCCUUCAAUUCCUGUCCAUCUAUCGUGUGUUUAAUAUGCUUUGUGCUUGAUAAUGUUGACAUUUGAUAUACAAGAUGGCCUUUUUAUGCUUAUUCAAGUCAUAUGCAAUAUUAUUGUCUGAUGUUGACAGGAGACUUGAUGCAUUCUUGAAGAGUCUCUAAGACAUGCUGUGGGUGUAAUCAACAUACUCAUUGUUCUCACCUACCAACCCUUAAAAAGUAGAACUAAAAAGAAAAGGGAGACUUAAGAUGGUAAAAGCUAGAAACACAUGGUACUGAUAGAUUUCCUUUUAUUUCAGGAUUAUGGGUACCUUGUUGUUGAGAGACCAAGAAUAAUCAUGCCUAUCUACCAGACAUUUUGAGCAUACAGCAGUUCUAUGGCUAAUAGUUACAUAUAUUGUUUCAUGUUUUCAUCUUUGGCAGAUAACCUAGGGAAUGCAUGCCUAACCUCUUUUUUUGUUACCGGAGCAUGGGAUCACAGUAAACUUCUGCAGUCACUGAAAGCAUAUCAAAAUGCUGUAUGUAUGAGAUAAUAACUUAUACAUCCUCCGCGUGAUGUAUUUCUACCCUCUGAAUUGUUAUUAAGCCUGUAAAAUAUUUCCAUUCUGCAUAUCAGGAGAGAGAUGAGACAAUGAAAUCCAGUCCAGACCUGUAUUUCAAUUGUGCUACUGUAAGUAUUUGUUCAACACUUUAAAUCUUUGCUUUUCUUUAAGUUUGUGUGAUUCUUUUUGUGCUUUCUAGCUUUUUUUUUUUUAUAAUAAUCUAUAAAAGUUACACACAGGACCUAAUUGAAUGAAUAAUUAUAGCUGUGAUUCUCAAACUUUAACUGACAAGUUUCAUGAAUUAUGCGGAGGACAGAAAGUAGUACUCGCUUUGUAUUAGCAUUAAAGAUGCUUUUCAAAAUUCCAUGUUUUUGUGUAAGGUAGCUCAUCUUGCUUGGUUUCGAGAUCUUAUUCCAGCUUUGCCCAAAACAUUGUCAUUUUUAAGUCAUCUAUGUCUUUUAAGUUCCGAAAAUGUUUGUAGUGGGUGUGAUUUCAAGCUUUGAUGAGAUGAAACUUUUGAUUCUUGGAGAGGUUAUAACACGCGGAGUGACGAACCCCAAAGUUGAUUGUUAUUUGCAUCUUGUGCAAUAGUAAGAUUCCUUUGGGGUCCCAUGUGGUCAGUUUUGCUCCUUUAAAGACCUCAUUUGUGGGUAACUUUGGAAGUACGCAAGGAAAAAAUUAGUGAUUCGAUUUUUGGGUAGUCAAAAAGGAUGUCAUUUGGAAGUUACAAACCAAAGUUUUGAGCUUUUGUAUUAACCUGCAGUAGCCAUGAUGUUAAUGGUCAGCUAACUAGCUGUCUUGGAGAGAGGAAAACAAAAUACUGAAGUAAUGGAACAAAGCCAGUGAAGAUGCAUCAGUUUCACAAAAAAUUAGAAGUUGACAGUCAGAGAGGAAAGCUUUAGUUUACUAGUUUAGACAACCUCUGGAUCAAAUUUUGGCCCUCUGAUACCUUUUUGUGUAAAAAAGGGCUAUGUAAUCACAAUAUUGACCAUAUUCUUGAGUUCUGUUUACCAAGGAUCAGCCAUCAGUGGUAUCAAGUAUGUACUCUUAAAACUCAUGCUUUAGUCCAUACUCCAGCUAACUUUAAUUCCAGAAUCAUUUAGUUUUUGGCUUGAACAAUGUCUAGACACAUAGCUGGGAGAUCUCAUCAGAAAACAGUUUGGCAUAUUUUUAACUGUUUUUGUUGUUCAUUUCCUCAGCUUGUAAUUGUUUUGACCAAGAAGUUUAAUGCUUUUACAAAUUAUUUUCAUUCGAAUGAAAUUCCGUGAAUACUUAUUUCUUUCUGUUAUCAUUUAAUUUACCAGUUAAAAUUAAAAUGAAAUUUUGUUAGGAGGCUUCUAUUGAAGUUAAAAUUGCUUUUACAUUCAUGAAUUUCCCCUGCAGUGUACAAUAUCUGCAGAUGUGGAACGUGUUUGAACUUCCACUGGGUCUAGUUAAACUGAAUCUAUUCUUCACUCUGCUUUUGUAUGCUUGUAAAAUUUGAAUCUGUAUUCUUUCAUUGUAAAAUGCAUUUGAAUUCAUUACUUGCAUCUGCUUUGCUUCUUUAUAAUGUAGAUGCUAAGAAGGAAUCAGUGUUUGACAUGGCUGAGAAUUAUUCAUUCAGGUGAACAAAUAUUUAGAGAACUAUGAGAGAGCCCUUACUGGAUUUGAAGCGGCUGCCUUGAAGGAUCCUGGCUUAAAUGCCACGGAGGAAGUUGAGAAGAUAGUUCAUCUUCUUGACAAAUUGGAGAGUUUGCUAAAGGUUAGUUGUUUGUCUCCAUGAGGUAUAAUAAAUAUUUGGACCACAUUGAUGCUGCUCAAAUAAACCUCAUUUCCUCUUGCUUAUAACACUGUUGGUUUGCUUGUAUUUAAAUAUUUUACAAUUUCCUGAUGAGUGAAAAGAAGAAGAAAAUUUUAGAAGCUAAGGAAGAAAUUAAAAUCUGCUCAAAAUGAUUAAGCUUUGAGUUGAUCAAAAAUUAGUUAUGGAAAGAAGUCUAAAUUAUCAGUUGAUGAUAGUAUUGAUUCCGAAGGAGCUUGAUCAUAAUGAUGAUAACGUAUCUAGCCAGUAAUGUCAAAUGUGGAUAGAUUAAUAAUGAAAAUUCUAGUGUUCGUUUCUUGCAAUUAGUUCCAUUCAGUGAUUAUAAAUAUGCUUGUUUAGUAGAAUAGAACGUGGAGUCUUUGCACCAUGAAAUUGGAAGUAUUUUGUCAUGCUGAUAAUUGCUACUUUUUCUCUCUUUAUAUCCCACAUGCAUACUGCGCAAGUGAAUUAUCAAGUUCAACUGGGUACAUGGGUCAGAACAAGAAUACCUGUAUGUAGAUUUGAACAAAGCUAGUGCCACCAAUAAAUAAGAUGGAUAUGUUUAUAUACAGAGAAGAGUAGGGGCUGGAUUUAGCAGACGCUAGUUGGAGCAUGGUUUGUGUUUGAAGUUAAGCAUUAUUAUCUUAAGAAAUCCAUCUUUGACUACUUGCUGGGAAAAUUUUAUAUCCGCAAUAUACCUAGGGUGGAUCGUAGAGUAAUCUGGUUGUUCCAGAAUGCUCAUUUCCCCUACAAGGGGCAAACUUGGUAAGGGCCAAAUAGUAGGCUUAGCCUAUAGGACCAGAGCACACAGUAAACAAUUUGAUCAAUCACACCACCGUCAGGUUUGACAGUCAUUUUUAUUUAUGAUUAUAAUUCUUGUUGAUCUAAGCAUUUGGCAUGAAUUCUAAAUAUUAUUUGUGACGCUCAAAAUGAUAACAAUGUAACUGUGGUUUGUUCAUUUUUAUGCUCUAUUAGAACAGAUAGCUGAGCAUUGCAUUUUGAGGCAUGCAGACAUUUCCAAUUCUAAUAUGUUUUUGUUUUAUAGGGACAAACUAAGGCUAAGCGACUUGCUUCAUUGGCGUCAUCACUUUCCACUGUAAAUGGUAUGCCAGAAUACUGAUUCUACACAUGUCCUGAAAAAAAUGUUUGUUCAACAUGUUUACGUGAUGACAGAACAUGCUUGAAGUUGCAACUUGAUACAUGCAAUUUCAAUCAUUUGUUGUCUCCUGUGAUUAAUCCAUGUUAAUUUUUUUUAUUUUCCUAUCUGUAGUAAAUCCUUCAUAUAUUCAAGUCAGUGUGGAUCGUCUAGCAGAAGGUUUAAAUAAAGGGGUUGCCGUCGUGGGAAAGGUUCUAUACUUUAUUAAACACCAAAACGUGGCUCCAUUGUGAGUACUUAGCUAGUUUACUUCUCUCCAACUAUUUUGCAUAACAGUUGAGUUGCCACACAGUUUCACUUUGAAUUGCACCAUCCACAUGUUUACGUUCAAAAGCAUGCCAUUUUUUUUUUUUUUUUUUUCCGUUUCUGAGAUGUAUUAUAUUGCAGAUACUAUUUGCUGUGUGAUGCAAAUCAAAUAUGCUAUGUGUUAUCAGUCUAUGGGAUACGUGAUGAUGUGGUAAGUUUUGCCUGGCAAUGAUGAAAGCAUCUUUAUAAAGGAAAAAGUUGAUAUUUCACUUGAGUUACAUUUUUCCCUACUGAAAGAAGCCUAAUAAUUUGUCAUGUGAAUAAUGUUUCUAAAUUUCCCGAACAGCCUUAAUUUCUUUGUUUGUUUAAUUUUCUUUGGCUUGUGGUUUGAGUUGAAAGGGGUAGACAAGAAAAAAGGAUGGCUCUACUUGAUUCAUUCCCUCUGUGGUCUCUCUUAAAGUUAUAGGAAAUAUUGUCACAGAUUUUAAUCCAUGAAUUAUGUUUAUUCAAAACAAAUUAGGGAUGCUUACAACCAAGAAUGCAUUGUCCUUGCUAGUUUUCCCUUUCACCAUGUGGUUGAUUAUGACUCACCUGCAGGCCAAUGAAGUUAACCCUCUGAAGUUAUUAAAGAAACUCCCCCUCCCCAUUCUGCCUCUGUCUGUGUCUCUCACUCACGUGUAGGAUGGAAAGUUUCCAGCCAUGCUCUCCUUGUUUCACAUGAUCCCAAUCCCAUAUUCAUCUAAUGAUAUGUUCAUUGCAGGUUAAAGAAGGAGACCAGAUCAUACUGCUGAGUCCCUAUUUCCAUAAUGUUGAUUUCUCUUGGAAUGGAAAGGUGUGCUCUUGACACUUUUUGUCACCAAAAUCAAUCCAUUUCUCAUCAUCAUUUGAUUUUGGAAAAACAUUCACGUUUCCUUUCUACAGCAAUGAAAAGACUGAUUCUGCUAAUAUCAUCAAUAAUGAUAUUGUCUCAGUAGCUAGUAAAGUUGGUCGUAUAAAAUAAUUACCAUUUGUAUGGUUGAUUUUGUAUCAGGUCUACCAGUUCAAAUCAGUACGUGUAGACUUCUUGGAGCAAAUGCUUGUUAAUGGAAAAGCUUUGUCUCAUAGCCAUGCAGUUCGAGCAUCGAUCUAUGCACAACAUAAGCCUUGAGAUUGCUUUUCAUUAUUGUUGUGGAUGUUACAUGUGUGAUUUAUAGUGGAAGUCAAGAUAAUCCUGCCGCGAACGAUGUGUCUUUUGUAUAUAGAACUGCAGCACAGAGUAAAGAAAUUUGCGCAUGUAACAUCGUGAAUUCUUCUCUCUUGUAUCCGUUUUGAGUCCUUGAAUUUGUAACCAUGACAUGAACCAAAGGAAAGUGGUAAAGAGAGAACAUGAAGGAAGAAAGCGAGGCCAGUGGUUCAUGAUUGCAGGGUCUGUGCUGCGAUUAUUGAUGAUGAAUAUGUACAAAUUGCAAAGGGGAGAGGUGGCAUUUUUUUUUUUACCUUAAAACUUUUUAUAUUUAGCUGCAAAGAGGUUUUUUUCCCCUAUUUUCUUCCAAUUGGCCACUAUGACUCUUUGGGCAGGCCCAAAUUCCCACACCUUCCAAUUCAAAAAAUUCAGUCCGAUCUAGGUGGGCCUUUUUCUAGUCUCACAUAAUCGAGUUAGGUCCUCUAUCCAUGACUAUAGUUGUUGUCAUUUGUAAAUAAAAAAUUUAAUCUCGUCCAUUAAAAGUAGGCAGUAAAAGAAUGUGGAAAACUAUGGUAUGUAAAUAGUAAGUCAAUAGAGCUGGGGAGGGAUGGGUUGGGUGAUUUAGCAGAAGAAGUAUAAGUGAGAGUUUUCUAAUAGUACACCACGGCUUCACAUCUUCACAACUCAACUCAUUUUGGGUCUUCUUGUUAUUUGAGGAAGAAAUUAAUAAGUUAUUACGUGACAAACUAUAUUAUUAAUUAGGACCUCUGCGGUAUAUGCAUGCAUUUGACGUCUUUUUCACCAAAACAUUAAAAAAAAAAAAAAAAAAGGCACAACGCGAGUGAUUGAAACAUACGCUUGACACGAUUUUCACGGGGUUGUUUGGUGUAUCUGCUUUAGUUUCUGAUUAAGAAUGCUGAUUCUUCAUUAUAAUAAUGCCUGUCAUCAAAAGGACUUAAAAUAAAUCGACUGUACUAAGCCAUGAUAAGGGAAGAGAGAUAGAUCGAUAGAUAGGGAAAAUGGCUGAAGCAUGUGCCAUGAAGGGAGGAGAUGGACCUCAAAGCUACGCCCAAAACUCAUCCUAUCACAUAGCAAGUUUUCUUUUGUGGGUCUUUCUCACUUUUAACUUUUCUGGGAAAAUGUAUUUUUUUUCUAUUUAUAUUCACUUGGUUUAUAAUUGACAAAAGAUUUUAAUGCUAAGGCCUCUAUUGUUUCAAGCCUUUGUUAGACUAGAAUCGUUUAAAGGUAUUGCAGAUAAAGCUCAUUAGACGUGCCUUAAGGCGUGCAGAUCUGAGGUUGAGGGAGAUUUUGGUUGAAUAAUAAGGUGGGAGAGAUUACAAGUAGAAUAUUUUUCAUUCAAAAUCGGUGUGUAAAUCUUUUAUAGUAAAAAUUGAUUUUUUUAUGGUAAGUGGUUGAUGAUUGAAACUUGCGACUUGUUAGUUAUAGAUUGAAAAAAGCUGAUUUUUUAAAAUGUAUAUUUCUUCUACUUUUUGGGUUGCAGGAAGGAGCAAUAGACGUUGAAAAAUAAAUUAUCAACAAAGAAAUUGACCCAAAAAAAAACUUGAUGUUGAUCAACUUAAGUGAAGAGCUUAUACAUGUCAAACAAUUUUAAUAGAAAAUAUUUCGAGAAAAAGAACACGGCCCACUUAUUAUAAUUCUCAUGACAUUAAUUUUAGUGAAUUUGGCCCUGAACGAUACCUCUACAGUAAGUUACAUUUGGUCACAGAAAACCAGUACAACUUUGUGGGGUGGUCUACCGAUUGAUUUUUUUUUUUUUUUGUCAACACAGGGUGUCCGAGUCAAUUCUUACGGGUCCGGGUCAACACAGGGGUGGUCUACCGACUGAUUGUCUUGCCAUUUUUGUGGUUGCUAACUAUUACAAUUGUCGUAAUGCUAUCCGGAAAUGGCCAAAAUACAAACACUUAUCUGGAAAUGGCUAGCUAGUAUAAAUCACUCCAUCCUUUUGGGCAGGGAAACCAAGACAUGACAAGGGAAGAGAUAUAGUGAGAUUAAAUGCGUGUGCUUUGUGCCAUGAAUGGAGGAAAUGGACCUCAAAGCUAUGCCCAAAACUCAUCCUAUCAGGUAGUUUUUUUUUUUUUUUUUUUUUGGGUUUUUACAGAUUUGUAUUCAAUUAAUUUAAAGACAAAGGAAUUUCAAGCUUUAGGCCAGUAAAAUAAUAGACACUGCAUAUGGUACAAUGAUCAUUCGACGAGUCUUUAAGGUUUGUAAUAUAAGGCUUGUGUCCUAAAGCUCAUCUAUUAUUUAUUUUUUUUCCCCUUAUGGUUGCAGAGAGGAGCAACAGAAGUAGCAAAAGAAAUUCUCAAAGAAGAAAUUGACAAAAAGCUAGACAUCAAACAACUUUCUUCAACCUCUAUGGAUCCAUUUUGCAUAGCAGAUUUUGGCUGCUCCACAGGACCAAAUACAUUUGUGGCAAUGCAAAUCAUCAUUGAAGCCUUGGAGGACAAAUUCAAAAAAGAGGGACUAACACCUGAAUUUCAAGUCUUCUUUAAUGACCUUGUAUCUAAUGAUUUUGACACACUUUUUGCUUCACUUCCGCCAGAAAGACACUACUGUGCAGCUGGAGUGCCUGGUUCUUUUCACAGUGUCAUGUUCCCAAAGGCGAGCCUUCAUUUUGCUUAUUCAUCUUACUCGCUUCACUGGCUUUCAAAGGUGCCAAAAGAGGUUACAGACAAUACGUCUCCUGCAUGGAACAAAGGAAAGAUUCACCAUGGCGGUGCCAAAAGGGAAGUUCUUGAUGCCUAUGCAUCUCAAUUUGCCAAGGACUUGGACUCAUUCCUGAAUGCAAGGGCACAUGAGCUCGUGGAUGGAGGCCUGAUGGCACUUCUUAUACCUGCUGCUCCUGAUGCUAUUCGUGAAUCUCAUACCAGUACAAUCACAGAGGUAGAAUGUGAAGUUCUAGGAUCUUGCUUGAUGGACUUGGCUAAGAAGGUGAGAUUUUAGCAUUCUAGUUAGUUUUAGACACUGGCGAAAUCAGAAGUUGAAAUUUGGGUGGAAGACUAGUAAAGACAUAUAAUUAUAUAUAUAUAUAUAUAUAUAUAUAUAUAUUCUCAUUCUUUUAUUUUUAUUUUUUUACCUUCCAACAUAUUUAUUUAUUUCUCUAAUUUUUUGUCAAAAAAUUGUACAUGAAUAUGUUUCAUGCUCUUUUUGAAUGUUAGAAUAUUAUGCUUUUUUGUCCUUUUUCAUUUUCUCAUAGUUCAAAUAUUUAAUAUAAAUAAUUAAUAGUUGUUAAAUAAUUAUGACAUCACGAGUCAAUUAAGGUUCGUCCAACGAACGAUUGAACCAGCCAUCCUUGAUCCAAUAAUUUUUUCUACUCGUUAAAAAAAAAAAAAAGAAAAAGAAAAUCUAACUACCUACUGUAUCCAUUGCAGGGAGUAGUGGACGAAGUGAAAGUGCAUAUGUUCAACUUGCCAGUAUAUUUCACAUUUCCCAAUGAGCUAAAGGCACUGCUGAAGGCAAAUGAAAAUAUGGACGUCCAGAGAAUGGAGAUACUAAACAUUCCAGGAAAGCAAGUGCUUUUUCCCAACCCUACUGCAAAUGUUUUGUACCUGAGAGCUGUCUUACAAGGAGUUUUGGAGAAGCAUUUUGGAAGUGGAAUCGUGGAUGAAUUGUUUGAACUGUAUGGACGAAAAGUUGCAGACUCUUCUUUUUUCUUUGAUCCAGAAAAUCAAGAUCUGAUCGUGAUUUUUGUUCUGCUAAGGUGAAAAAUGAGAACAUGAAUAAGUUAAUAUUUAGAGUACCAUUUUUAAUAAAAUGUGCAAAUGAGAGUUAAAUGUCUAAAGCCAUAAAAAAAAAUUUUUUUUUUUUGGCAAGUAGAAGUUUAAUAUGUCCCGUACUACAUGUGCUGCAAUUUAGUUUUAUCAUUUAGCUACAAAGGAUCGUGAAUACGAUCACUUUUGCCAACCAAGAAAAAAGAUGGACCAAUUUAUAAGGCAAGCUUUUUGUUCAUCACAGACUCAAUAGACCAAUUUAUAAGUUGAUAAAAACAAAAAAAAAUUAUCUACCUACAUUGGUUCGUCGUCCCUGCUCCAGGCGGGAGAAAAUAAAAAAGGAACUACAAAAUACACAUACUAUGGGCAAUAGAAUUGCAAAUAUGACUAUUGUCUGUAGUAGCCACUCUGGUUAGGAGGAUAUGGGGGUUGGACCGUGUAAGGGGGCCUAGGCAUGGAUCCUGGUUGAGGAGCUGCAUUAUAGUAUGGACCACGCCAUCCAGGAUAGGCAGGCUGGCCAUACUCAUGGGUAACAGGAGGCUGCUGUUGAUGCUGUGGGGGUGGGUAUGGAGAACCUGAAGCUGGUACGUGAUAAGGAGGUGGUACUUGUUGUGGCGGAGAGACAUAAGGGGAAGGAGAUUGAGCAUAUCCGGCCAUUGUUGGCUGCUGCUGGGGCUGGUAUGGAGGAGUUGGUGGAUGUGAAGGGUUGGACACAUGCACAGGUUCUGUGUGCUGUUGGGAGUUUGGCCUUGGAGUCUGAUGGGGCUGUCCAGCUGCAGGAUAACUGUAACCACCCGUACUCUUGUUAUCCUGAAAACUGAGACCUGCAAUGUGUCUCUGAACAUCUUCAAUCAUCUCCCGGCACUGAAUGUUCCUUGUCAUCACAAAAUCACUACACUGUUGCUUUAUAUUUGUGAUAGCAUCCUGUUUAACAGAAAAAAUUGAGCGUCAAUAAACAAAUUUUGAAUCGAUUACCAAACGAAAAACAGAAAAAAUGAAAAAAAAAAAAAAAGGGAUUCAUGAACCCCUCACCUUUAAUGUGUUUAAAAUUUUGGUUAACAGCCAUGAAUUAAUUGUUAAUAUACAGAAUCAAGCUCAACUUUCUUUGGCAUUUUAAAUUUGUGUAUUUGUCAAUGUAGAGCCAAAUGUAUCAAGGGUAAAGCUUCAUGAACAAUAUUACCUUAUAUUUAGUUAUCAAAACUACAACAGCCUUAAGUAAUAUAUGGGCAAGGCUAAAAAAAUGUAUAUAACUAUCCACUUAAGCCAAAUACGGCUAUACCAGCCAGUUCUCUCUAGCUGCUAAACCAUACUAUGGAGGAAUGAAUAAUGUAAAAGAUAACAGACUCACAUAACUCUGUUUGUGCACCAUUUUUUUUUUUUAAUUAGCUAAAUCAGUGAAUGAAGGGAGUGCCAACUGUUUGUUCAUCAUUAUUUUUGAAUAAAAAAUAUGAAAUUCAAGCUUCAAAUGGGUAAGAAUGACUUGAAAAAUAUAUAGGGCCAAACUCAUGAAGGAAAAGCUCAAACCUGAAGAGUAACAUAGAACUUCAGUCCUUCAUUUAUGUUCUCCUUAAUUUCUCGAUACUUAGCUAUUGCAGCUUCUAUUUGCUUGUAGCUCUUCUCUCGAGAAGCUGACAAAUUGAAACAUGGAUUCAGGCAUGAAAGCGUGAGCAACAGAAAGCAAUAUUGAGGGCAAAUUUAGAUGGGAAAAGCACUGAUUUUAGCUUGCAUCAAGUGCUAGAGCUGAACUUUGUAAACCAGUAAAGCAAGAAGGAAGUGCCAUAGCAGUAAGAAGUCAUAACAAUGAGUCAACACUACCUGUCAGGACGAUAACAAUAGAUUCUUGUUUAUUGCAGCAAUUAGACCUUAAGACUAAACUAAGGGAUGAAAAACUCGGCUCAAACUAGAUCCUACAAGCUGUGCACCAAGAAGGGUGCCAUCAGAAUUUAAACCAAGUACCUAUACGCCUCUCCACAUUCAAUACCCCAAAUUCCCAAUUAACAGACAGUUGGUAAAGGACAAUAGGCCAUAGUCCAAUUAUAUGACAUAUUAAUUCAUGCUAGUAAUGAGAAAAAGACAAUCAAAAUGGCAAGCUACUUUUCAGCACAUAUAUUAGAACCUGCUUUUGAGUCAUUUAGUCUGCUUCCGUGAGCAACAUCACAAAUUAUUGGUGAGAAAAAUUAUAAGCAUCAUCGUUGAUAGAGAAAAAGGAUACUUGAGUUUGAAAAAUCUAGCAAUUUCCAAGUAAAACAGAAAUAAGGGCUCGACAGGCAAAUUCCUCAGCCAAAUGAUAUCUAACUUACCACAAUUCAAAAACAUGUCUAAUUCUAAGAGGAAAACCAUGUACCAUUACCAAGUAAAAGCCACCCUAGUUGCAGUGCCAGUCAACUUAAUAGGUUAAAGCACCCUCUGCUAGACGUUUAUCCACAGCUAUCAUGAAAAGCAUGAAAUGUAGUCUAGAACUAUGAUUCCACUAUAAACCCAGUAACAAACACCACCAACCAUAACACCAUACCCUCAUAACAAACAUGAACAGAUGUGAAAAAGCCUAAUGCAAAGAACAUAAAGCAGAACAAACCUUUGAAAUCUUCAAGAUUAAAAACUGCUGCAAAGUUAUCAUUUUGAACCUGAGGCAAAAUAAAGACAAUUAGAACAAGAGGUUCUCAAACCACACCUGCAGCAUCUAAGAACGUUCCAAUUAGGACAGGCAAAUUAUUAAAUCAACAUCUACUCUGAUUUACAUUUUCAUUUAUCCAUGCCUCACCUCCAUGAGGGCAAAUUACCCUAACAAAACUGAAAAGUCAAUAUUUUGCAAAGCAAGGAGAGAAACAAAAUCUAUCAAAAUCUUGAUUUUUAAAUGCUGAUUUCCCUCCACAAGAAUCAUCAAUUGUCAAACUUACAACUCUCUGGACAGUUUAUUAUAGUACACCAUGUUAUCCCAUCCCCAGAGAAGCCUUAAUCGUCAAGUUGAUAAAUUUCACAGUAAAUUCACUUCUCAUUUCUGGAAAGGGAAAAAUUAACCUUGUCCUAAUAAACACAAACCAUAUGCAUAGUACUCAUAGCAUACCAAAUCAGAUCAUCAGGCAGCCAUAACUACAUCUUUCUGAUCAUUAAGUUUCAUCUUGUCAAAACUAGGAAGAGAAAAUUAGGGGGGGAAAAAACGAGUGUCAACAAAAGCAUGCCAAUGGCUUAAAAGUCACUUAAAAGUGGUCAAACAAAUAAAUGUAUUCUUUUCUCUUUUUCUGGUCAAAUGGAUGUUCAUCUUGAUGCAUGUCAAGGCACCAACAGUACACUGCUCACAGCAAAGAUAAAUGUUAAAAAGAAGCACGGCGAUUUCAUCCCUGCACUUGGCUGGUGUAAGAACCACAGGGUUGAUGUUGGACUCAGUAUUAGUAUCUAAUGUUCUAAACAGCACCCGACUGACAAACAGAAUGAACGUCCAAAAUGCUUUAUUUCAUCUCUUUACCACAUCAAAGGGUACCAAACAACAUCAACAGAGUAGAGGAAUUACAUAUGAUACCAAUAGAACCUCAAAGAAAUGCUUAGCGGUGAAAACUGCCUCUAAAAUACUAACAUUAUUGUCAAUAGGCACCAGGGACCCCAUCGAGAUAUCAAUAGUUUAAGAAAAUACCGAAGUACCUGAAUAUGCAUCAACAGCUGUUCUUGUCCCUCAACAUUUUGCGCAAUUUCUUGACAAAUAUGAUCAUACUUUGCAAUUUCCUUCCUAUAGAGAUCCUCAUGCGAACCAGUCGACGUCAUCAACUUUGGUAGUAUGUCAUCCUGAGCCACAAAAAGAUAAGCACAAGUCAAAAGUAACAUAACAUUAGCAUGAGAACAGCAUGACAGAUAGAAAUGACCACCCUCCGCAUAGAUGUUUAAUUGUAAUUUUCAGAACUACAAUAAUUUCUCAGCUUAUAUCAGCAUAAGGGAAGUUAUAAAUAAGAGAAUAUGGCACUAGAGUAAUACAAGUCAAUAAAUAAAGAUGAUCUCACUAAUUAUAUCUAAGCUAAUGGGAGGCUAAUCUAGUUACUACAUUUCUUCUUGGAUAUAAACAGGAGACUUAUACUUUGGCACUUGAAAACAAGUUCACUAGAAAAGUAUACAAGAAAGAAUUUCUGUUAAGGAAUGAAUUCACCAGUAAGCAACAAAGAGACUGGUAACAGUAGGCAGAACUCUAACAGAAAGAUAAGUGAAAGCAGCAUGGCAAAAGAAGACUUCAAAUAGUUGAUAGUUCAGAACAAUAUCUGUUCAAAGAUGGUCUAAACAGCUAAACAAAUUGAAUAUGAGCGAGUUAUCCUCUGUACCUUCCUCUUCAUCUCUUUUAGCAUGUCUUCAAGACCUGCCCUCUGAGCACCAAGAGUCUCCAAUUGCCUCUGCAAAAAGAGCAAGGUUGCAUUUAUAGUUUCAUGGGAAAAUUAGUUCGGUGAUACAGUCAAUCAGAGUCUUUCAAAGUAGAAUUGAUACUUCACGCAAUAAAAAGGGAGAUGUAGCUUCUUUCAUCAUGAAAACUUUCAUUUGACUUUUUUUCCACCUUGAAACAAAUAGAAUGACAGAUGCACUUAUUUCACAUGUAGUUUUACAAAGAAUGAUUUCAAAAGACCACAAAGUAGUACCGACAACUUCUUCCUUCCUUGUCAUUGUUAUAUUCAUAAUAGAAUGAUGUUUUUAGUACUCCAUUAUACUUUCUCAGUCUACAAACCAAUACAGUGAUCCCAAAUUCUUAAGGAUCCAUCUGUAAACGAAGUCAAAGAGAAAUUGACAGACUUAAUAAGACCAAAGAGGUGUAUCUUGAAAAGCUGAUUCUCCUCAGCAUCAUAUUUUAAAUUCUUUAUUCAUUUCAAUCACAAUGAAAAAACUUCAACGUGAACAUGCCCUAUUGCCUAACAGAGAUUAGAAGAAAUUAGUGAAGUUCCAAAGGUCAAUUUGUUGACAUGAAUUGCAACUAAAUAUAUGUCCAGAAGACUUAAUAAUCUUCAAAAAACACAACAAAUAGAUUUUACACAUUACUAACUCAGAAUUAAAACACAAACAAAACCAACUUACCAAGCUCUGUUUCAGGGCUCCCACUACAGCAUCUUCAUUUGCAUCUAAUGACAUUAUGGGCCUUGACAGCGAGGGUAAUGCAGAUUCAAUCUACCAAAGAUAAAAUGCACAGAAAAGAAUCAAAUUCCUGUUACUUCACAGAAAGUGCUCAAAGAAAAACUCGAGCAUUAGAAUUAUGGGUCCAUUCUAAUUCUUAGUAUUAGAUUUUGCUUUUCACACCCACUUCCAGCUUCCAAAAAAAAAAAUACCUCUCCAGACUUGAUUUGAAGAUGAUAAUUCUCCUUCAUAGAAUUUCUAAACAUAUAAAUCUUCAGAUGUUACAUGACCUUUUUCACUAAUCACAUUUUUUCCUGUCCAUUAAAAUUAAGGCAAGAACAAGAAGCAACAGAUAACUAAGCACUUGCUGCAAAAAGGGGAAAACUAAUAAACAUCAAUUCAGACAUAAUGCAGUUCCAAUUUCAAAGCCAAGCAGCCACACAACACUCCUUAUGGGAAACAGAACAUAGGAAUUUAUAAGCUCAAUAUUAACCUAACCCCUAGCUAAAUAUCCAUGAAAUCAGAUAAAAGAUUUAUAAAAUCAUGCAAGUGGCUAAAGGAACUUCAGUAUUACCAUCAGAGUAAUUAAAACUGCACAAACUUCAAAACCAUUAAGAGAGGGGGGGGGGCUACUGAAGGAUUUCCAAGCCCAUAAAAGAUUUCAAGCAAUAUAUCAAUCAUACAGCAACCGAAGUCAUACAAAUUAACCUAAAUCAAAUAAAGAAGCAUACUGGGCGAUGAUCAAGGAUUGACAUUAGUGCCGAAUGAUCUCUCACAGAUCGCUCUAUCCGUCCAUCACUUUCUGCUGCCUGCUUCAAGUUCGCAGCAAACCUAUUAAGCCGAUCUAGCAAGUUCUUUGUUAAAGUACUAGAUUGUGGUCUAGUCCACCGUGUUCCAAAUUGGCUUCUGAACUGUGCAUCUUCUGUUGCCUCUUUUUGCAGGAGCUCCUCUGUCUGCACCAACAAUUCUUGGUCCACCCUCCUCAAAUCUUUAAGUUGCUGUAACUCACCCUCUAAACCAGCUGGGCCCCCACAAACUUGCACAGCCUCUACAUCUUCUUUAAGAUCUGUUGGAAGAGUGGAAUUCCCUUCCAAAGCAAGAAUAGAAUCGGGUAAGUCCAUCUCCUUCAGCCUCACUCGGGCUAGCUCACUUGCCUGUUGUAAUUUCUCAGCUUGCAUCCUGAUAAUGUCAUCAACCAUUUCUGUAUAUCUUGAAAGAGAUUUUGCACUGCUAUCAGGAACAAGCCUCACAAACAUUUUCUCCUUGCUUGCAUCCAACACCUCAUUCAUUGGCAUAGGCUUCACCAAUGAAAAAGCAGGAAGUGGCGGCAAAGAACUGGCAGUAGGAACCCUCAUUAAGUAGACUCUUUCAUUCUCCUUCACAGCCCUCUCCAAGUUGCGGUUCAGGGUUGAUUCUAAUUUGGUCAUUGCAUCCAGAAGCUGCUGAGCUGCCCCCCUUGGACAUGAUUUCUUUGCCUCAGUCAAUGCAGCAACCCCACUCUUCAAACGGGCAAUCUCCUCAGCUAUCUCUUCCUUCUCAUGGAGCUCCAAACUGUACCUGUAGCAAGCCUCUGCAUAAAACAAGGCUGCUUUAAGCUGAACAUGAGCUAGCCAGUUCUUAUCAAAGUGCUGGUUGAGAGGUGCAACAUUCAGAGCUGCCAGACCCUCCUCAUAAUAUAGUCCAACCUGUAACACCACAACAUGCGACCUCAACUUUGCAGUCAUUGCCAAUUAUGUGAACCCAAAACAUGUGAACUAUAGUAAAGUAACCAUUUUCUAUCAAAAGAAUUUACGUAUUAAUGGACAUACUAAAUUAAGAACAAUCUGCAAAUAUCCAGUAAUGGCACACAUUCAAUAAUAAGAUCAUUAGUAUAUGGGCGACAAAAACAGUCAUUAUGAAUGGAAAGAAUAAAAAAAUUGGAAAAGUUCUCAAGUUUCACCAGGUGUAAGGACAUAUGGCAUUCAUAUUAUUGAAGAAUCAAGGUCAAUGUAAUCUUUUGACUGAACAGAUCAAAAGGUGAACAAUAAACCAAUAUGCAAAACUUGAAUGCCUUUGUAUAGCUCCUUUUUUUAUUCAAUUGACCAAAAAAAGAAAGAAAAAUUCCUCUAAUGGGGACAUUUUCCAGUCUAUUCUUCUUGCGUUUGUUCAGAAAGAAUUCCAUCUGCUGAAGCAUUAUUUUAGUGACUGAUAAAUCGUUAGCAUUUGCAAUACCUGUACUUCGAAAUAGUUUCAACAAGAAAAAUACCGAAAAAGAGAAAGACCAAGACAUAGAUGGUCUCAGUUUAGUUACAAAAGGAAAGUCACUGCAACCAAGGUUAUUGAGCCAAAAUCACCAGUUAUACGUUAUUGCAAAAUCUUUAGCAAAUUUGCACACCAUACUUGUAUAUCAAAUAUUUGGACAGCCAAAUUUCAAAUAAAAGGUAGCUAAGCUCCCAAAAAUCCCUAAAUACCUGUCUGGAAAUCUUUGCACAAACCCCAGGAGUGUUGCCCUUGGCAAUAGUAUUCUCGAAAACACACUCCUGAGCCUGAGCCAACAUCAGUCUCUCCAGCAUUCCAACACACUCCACUGACACAUCCACAGAUGUUGAGCUACCCAUUGAUGCCUUCAUUGCCACAUUAUCCCUCAAAAAGGCAAAUGCACCAGCUGCUGCUAUAAAAGCAUGAGAUGCCUGCUUUCGCCCAUCAACCCCUGAUCGGUCAAAACUCAGCCCCAUUUGACUAUGGACUGCCCCCAAAUUAAACAACACUGCAGCUUUUUCUAAAUAAUAACCCAAAAAAAAAAAUUUGAUGGAAUGCCAAUUAGUAUGCUACAACUCGCAAGUAAAAUACAAAGCUUCUAUAGAAAAGUCAGAAAUGAGUAAGAUUAACUGAUGGACAAGUCUGCCAAAGACUCGUACCAACCUCCAGAAUAAGAAUAGCAUAACAUAUUCCUUCAAUUCUGCCUAAAAAAUUGUACCUUGCCCUAAAAUCCCAAUCAAAAAGUAAAAGAUAAAAUCAAUCUUUUCAAGAACACUUAACGCACUGUACUUUCUGUAUGCUCUGAUCAUACGAGAAACAAGAAGACCAGAAACAAUUUCAUUUUAUUGUACAGAUUAUCUAUAGUUAAUCCCCUCACAAGAACCAAAACUAAUAUAAAAAUAUGAAAACCUAAACAAAAGUUUGGUAUCCCUGUUUCCUAGCAAAUAAAGAUCAACAUAGAUUUCCCCAAGAGAAAAGGAGUAUAAAAUGUCAAUAUUUUGCCAAACUAAACAACACUACUGAGUCAUUGCAUCUUACACAGAACAUAUUGUAGCACAGCGAAAUGCAAUCAAUCAAACAAGCAAAACAAUAUUUACCUAACUCAAAACAAUAAAGUACUAAAUGACACUACAGAAUACACCUAAAGCAUUGACGGAAUGUACCAUAGCAAAAUCGAACCAAUCCAAAACAAACGAAAAAAAAAAUUGAAAUUUUACCUAAAUGAAUAUUUUGCUGGGCAGCUUUCUGUUUAUUUUUGAACGCAUCAAACCAAGUGAACGUGACCGUACUAAUAUGGUCUUUAUCGGGAGAAAUAGGGAACCUCGACUCCACAGCGCAAAGAGCUCGAUAAUACUUCUGGAGAAGAUCACGCCGCGCCGGGAGAGAAUCGGCCGGAGUAGGGCCACGUUCCAUGUCGGUUCGAAGUUCCUUGAGGGUUUGGAGAUCGUCCUCCAAGUUCUGAGCCUCACGUUCGCCGUAAUUGAUCACUAUGUAGUUCCGCAACGGACGGUAAAGGUCUAAAGAGUUGGUCUUCUUCUCGUAUAUUGCUAGCAUGAUGUUUGUGGUUGCUGCAGCCGUUGACGACGACGGAGACGCCAUGAUCGGCAGUGGUGGGAUAAAUAUUAAGAAUUUCGAUUAAAUCCGGCUCCGCAAUUCUAUUUAUACUGAUUUUUCUGUAGAUAGAUUAAAUUGAUUGAGAAAAUUGGUAGGAUUGAAGUCAAUGGGAAGGUGUGUAAAUUGGCCCCCCGCGGGGUGUUUUGGGGCGUGUGGGAGGUGUUUUGCUUAGUUGGAAAGUAAAGGACAAAACCUUGGGGGAUUUGUGGGGCAAAAUUGAUAAAAGUGAUUAGGAAAGUGAUUAGGGGGCAAGGUUUUGUUCAACUAAGAGUUUAGGGGUUUCAGUGUAAUAUACUUGAUAACAAAAUUAAAAAAUGAAAGAGUUCUAAAUAUAAUUGCUGUUUUAACCUUUUAUUUUUACCAAUAAUCCUAUUUUAAUUUCUAUAUCUUCUACUAAUUGUUAACAUUACUAUGCUCACUUGUUGAAAAUAUAUCAAUUAGAUCACUUGUAGAAUGAUUUAAAGUGGAUAGCCAAAAUAGUCUACAUUAAUUUAUUGUAGCAUAUACGACUUGGUUUGGAUUUUUUUUAUUAGGAAAACUUUAAGAAAAAUAUUAUUAUUGCACUUUUUUUUUUUAAAAAAAAAAGAGGUUCUAUGUAAUAAAAAGUUAAUUGUAAAACAUGCUAAAAGAUUUUCUUUUUUUUUGUCAAAAAAACUUGAAUAACCAAUAUAUUUUAGAUAGAAAUUGAGAAUCAAGAAAAACUUAUUUUAUUUUAUACGUUAUUUAUAAGAUUAUAAGACGUCCUUCAAAAUCUUGAAUUAACCAAUAGUUAAAAAAAAUAAUAUUUUAAAUAAUAUUUUAGAACAACAAAUAGUGGAAUGAAUACUAAAAUAUUAGUCAAAAGAAAUUUAUACACUAUGAAACUAUUUGAAUCAUAACUUCUACGUCUUGGAAUCUCAACCUUAAUGCCUCCUUAAUUACGUACAAAAUAGACAAAAAGAUGGGGAGGCAAAAUAGAACAACUCAGAAGAAUGAGGGCCAAAACAUUAGUUCACCAAACUUCGGAGAAAAAUCCUAACCGGGUUCCGAGUAGUAACAUAACAUUGCAAGGCUGGCUGACCGGGUUAGCAGUAGCAGAGGAAUCCGGUCCAUGAAUUAAGAAACAGCAGAAAACCGCGUGGAGUAACACCCACGCAUAUUCUUUCUUGUUCUCAGGUUCUAUAAAGAUCCGGUGAACCCCUAUUUGGUCGAACUCUCUAGAAAUCCUUUCAGAUUGGGCAGCAGCUGCUCAGAUUUCGAAGGUUGAGAUAACGCCGCUUUUCAAGAUUUCACAGCUAAAUUCAAAUCUUCUUGUUAGCCUUAGGUAGCCGUCUCAGAUCUCUCCUUCUUGCUGUUCAUCCUUUGUACAACUAACCAGGUAUGUGACGAAUUUUAGUUUUCGCCAGUUUUUCUAUCUUUGUAUCUGAUUGGAUUGAGUGUUUGUCUCUCGCUCCUAAAUGGGUUUUAAUUGUUAUUUUAUGGGUUUCUCUUAUUUUGUACUCAUUCAAUAUGCAUACGAAGAAAUUUUAGUGUUUAUGCCUAGGCCCUAGGGUUUGUUGCUGCUGUUUGAUUACUUAGUGUAGUGGCUAUACAACAAGGCUGGAUGGAUUUUGAGUAGAUGAAUUUUAGCUGGAAUAUUGAGUUCUUGAAGAUGAAAAGUAACAAGGCUGGAAAUAUUUAUAGCUAGGUGAAUUAAAUUUUCGAAGGUGGUUAUUAUGUUUCCUUUUUGGUUGUUAGAUUUAAUCGUGGCUGAAGUACAGUACUUAGUAUCCGGUUCAAAAUCUUUUUUUUUUUUUUUUAAAUUUGUGAAAAUUAGUUGCUGAGAUAUAAAGCUUCAUGUGAAUUAUGGAUUGGCUGCAGACUUCUUGGAAAAAAGGAUUGGAAGUGAAGAGACAAAUUUUAGUUGGGCAUUCAAGAUUGUGACUUUCUUAUAGUAUUAUAUUGUUAUAAGGUAAGAAACCCGACUCGGAUUUGUACAGUCUCUUUCUUUGCAUUCUUUUGUCAUGUUUAUAUAAUUUCUCUGCAUGUGUAGUAUUUUGUUUAUUACUGAGAAGCUGGAUUUGUAUUACUUUCUGCCAAAUUUCAUGAAAUUCUCUAUGAAUGUUAAAAAAAAACUGUAGUUUUUUUGGUGCCAAUGAAGCAAAUCAAUUGCUGCAGUUGUCAUGCCCUAUGUAAAUUUUGAACCUGGGAAAUGUUUGUUAAAGAGAAUCUCUUAUUUUCAUGUGUCUCAGAUGAUUGUUAUAGAGAAUCUCUUAUUUUCUUGUGUAAGAUACAGUCAACAAAAGUGUAGGACUUCAUGUGGUUGAUACUUGUUUAAUACCAAUAACAUUGAUGAUUAAAUAUUUGGCUUAAAUUAUGUACAAAUGCUUUCAACCAAUGUUGUGUUGGAAUAUACGUUGAAUUGGUUUCUGUUGUAACCCUCCAAUUCCUGUCGCUAAUAAGACUAUUAAAGCUUUCUAAGAAAAACAAUGAAAGUCUUUUUUCUGAAUGAGCUCACCAGUCUCUUUAUCAAUUAUGGUGGACCCUGCAGCUUUUUAGGGUGUGAAUUAAGUUGCCGAACAAUCUGCCAGGAAACCAGCCUCAUAAUUUGCGAAUGACAUGUUUAGGCGACUGAGUAUACAAUCUGUAUGAAUUAUUUGUUGUGUGCUCUCCAGAAAUGAUUAUGUCUUAUAGUGUCUUUUAACCCCACCUUGACGUGCUUCAGUUGAAAGGUUUUCUUGUUUCUUUCUUAAUUAUGUUUUUCUUAGUGCUCUGUUUAGAUUUUCUUUGCAAUAUACAUUGAAAGAAGUUUUUUCUUAAUAUCUGAGCUGUUCAAAAUGUAUUUAACUACCUCAUUUUGCUCCUACAAAGGGCGUUCUUCCUUUGUGCCGAGAAAACAUUGUAAUUUUUAUACCAAUUUUGCCUUCUAGAUUUCUGCACCUUCACUUCACCACGCGUUCCACUUUUAGCCUCCAAUUUUCCAUCUUAGAUGGUUCAGAAUCACUCAAAUCUUGUGUGCUGAAAAGAGAAUUCUCUGUUUGCUUCCAAAAACACCUAAAAGGUUGUGUAAGAAGAAGUUUGCACAUGGACAGCUUACUAAUUGCUUAAACCAGUAAAAUAACUUUCACUGUGCAGAAACUAGUCUUCGAUUGUAGAGUUUCUUUGAGGGGAGAAAGACAUAAAAACAAUCAAAGAUAUCUAUCAUAUAUCUGCCAGAGAAACAUACGGCUUUGCUAUGUUGUACUUCCAUUUGUCUUUUCUGAAACAAUCAAAGAUAUCUAUAAAUUUGCUUCUCAUGCUAGUUGUUGUUGAUCAUCUCUUUCUUGACUGAUUUCCUGGUGGAGGAACUAACAUUGUUUCUUUCUCUUUUUGAGAUGUACUUCUGGUCAUCAUCUCAUACCAAAAUGCAGGUAUUCAGUUGUAUUUUAUAUCAAAAUGGAUGCCAAGAAGUUUAUCCAGCUGGUCGAGGAGAAGAAGAAGCGGAUGAUGGAGAGGAAAGAAGCCCCUUUGAAAUGGGAGCAAAAAUUGGAAGCUGCAGCCAAGGCUAGAGCUGAUGCUGAAAAGGAGAGAAAGAUGAAGGCCACUAAGCACAAGAAAAGAUCUGUACCAGGUUCUGAAAGUGAUUGUAGCAGUGACAGCAGCAGUGAUGAAAGGAAGUCAGCUAAAAGGCCCCACAGGAAGCAUAGGAAGCAUAAUCACUCUGACUCAGGCGAUAAUGAGAAGAGGAGGGAUAAGAAAUCCAGACAUAAGUCGAAAAGGAGAUCCUCUGACUCUGGUGAUGAUAGCAGUGGAUGUGAUACUGAUUCACAAGAAGAGAGGAGGAGAAAGAAGCAGAGGCAGAAAAGGCGAAGGCAUCAUGAUUCAAGAUCAGAUUCUUCUGGUGCUGAUUACUCUGAUGAUGAAAGUGACAUUGAUAUGAGAAGAAGAAAUCGCAUAAAGAGUCACAAGCGCCAUCGGAGAUCUCAUUCUAGUGAUUCAGAAUCUGCAUCUGACGAUGACUAUCCAGGCAGAAAGAGAAACCGUGCAAGGCACCACAAACGUUCUAGACGAUCAGGUUCAAGUGAUUCAGAUUCAUCAAGCGAUGAUGACACUCCAAAGAGGAGCCGUCAUGCGAAACACCAUAAGCAUCAUCGUGGAACCCGUACUCAUGACUCGGUGUCCUCAGAUUCUGAAGAUCAUCGUCGUGACGGGAGUAGAUCUCUAGGGAAGUCAUCUGAUGACGAUUUUGGUAAAGUAGAAAAGCAGAAAAAGCAUCAUCAUGGACAUGGUCGUCACCACCACCAUCAUCAUCAUAACAAUCACAAUCGCAUCCACUCUGACGAAACGCCACUCAAUGAUCAGCAGGCUGGGAAAGCAACAGAAUCAAAUGGAAAAAAUACUCUGCGAGAGGCAAAUAUGGACAAUAGCCAUGAUAAAGCUGUUGAACAGCAAACUGCUUAAUGGUCCGAGUGUGCCUUCCAAUGGAUUCAUGUGCGCUGUUUCUGUGUAGGUAACUUAGGGUUUUCUGGUUGGUGUUGCUGGAGGCUUGGAAUCUGGAAUUUGUCAAAGAUUAUAUGUUGAACUGCUGCAGCAAAAACCUUUCUGAUUGACAUUUGAAUUUACUGAUUCCGUAUAAAUAUGUAACAGCUUAUCAGCAAUUUAUUCCCUCUCUUUGCUGUGUGGAACAUUUAUUUUAAC